RNAcentral lists this long non-coding RNA (59816 nucleotides) under Physcomitrium patens. RNAcentral's name for it is "long non-coding RNA (PPAT_LNC003547)". The record is from RNAcentral. Lineage: Eukaryota; Viridiplantae; Streptophyta; Bryopsida; Funariales; Funariaceae.
CUUGACCGCAAACAAGCAAAAUCCAGACAGACAGGCUCCCGUCCGGACUCUCUCUCUCCUCUAUAAGAACCCCGUGGCGGUAGAGCGCUGCAGUCAUCCGAUUGAUUCUCCUGCUCCUCCACCUCCUUCACCCAACAAGUGUUGUGUUGCUCGCGGAGUGACUAGCUUACCGUUCUUUCAUUCUCUCUUGCGCGGAUCGUUUGGUUGCAUUCAUUCGUCGAUCGCAGGCUCAGAGUCCGAAUUCCAACAAUGGCAGCGGGUCACGGUGUUUCUGUGCAGAGGAUGGGCAGGUCGCGGAGGGCUGCCCCCAGACGAGGCCAGGUGAAGGCUGCCAUAGCCCUCUCCCUGCUGCAUUCCCUUUCGUCCGCUGUCCUGAGGACUCGCUCCGCGGUGUCCCGCUCCCGCCGGCCGUUCUCGUGGCACAGCAGCUGAGGCGCGGGCGAGGCGACCCGUGCGUGGUCGCGCUGAGCGAUGGUAAUUGGAAUUUGAAUGGAACGGCCACACCACAGGUAUGGCGAUCGCGGGGCGCUUCUCCGGCAGAGCGCACCCGAAAUGGGGACCCCGCCGCCUGUCGCGGCGCCAGCUCCAGCGCGUCGUGUUUCACGUCAUGUUUACACGUCGAGGUUUGCUCGGAACAGGAUGCGCGACGAGUCCGAGCGUCCGUCGGACGGGGUUCGACACAUUUUUCGUAGGCAUUCGAUGCAGGGAAGAGGGGAUUGGGGAUUGGUUGAUUGAGAACCAAGGAAGCGUGGUGCGCGACCCCAUGAGCAGGAGUACGUCCCGAUGAUGGGGGUGGGAGGGCCCCGGGAGGGGCUUCACUGUCGACUCGACGGUCGCCUUGUGUGCGUCACGCUUGCCGUGCUAGGUGUUUAGACAUAAUUGCUUGGCAUCAUCGUGCCAAGUUCGUGAGCAAGAUCGACCCGCAGUCGAUCAUUGAGUGUGCCAUACGCUGUACAUUGCUGUACGUAUUUUUGUGAAAUGAAAACACGGUCCGGGAUUUGAAUGCAAGAGACUUGGGUAUGGAUGAGGCAUAUUCCUGGUGUAUUGGAGUUUGAUGGUGGUUGCAGUAUUGGAGUCCGAUGUGCUGUGUCUUGCAUGAUCCGGGUCCCAUAUGGACAAGCACACUGCAUGUGGAUGGCAAGUCGUGUGGAUUGAGUCGCAUUUGAGUGAUCCGGAGUACAGACGCGUUAUUGGGGAGUUGAUGUUUAACGAGUUUGGUAUAGUAAUUAACAACAAACUGAGUCACAAUCAACUUUUUUUUUGGUUCACAGAGCCGAUGAAGGUUUUUGUUUACUUUGAAGUAGAAAUUUAAUGAACACUUGGUUUUCUUUUUCUUUUUCAAACCAGUUUGGAUAUCACAUAUUCUGAUGAGUCUCUUUGUUGAGUGCAAUCCUUUCCGAUGUUAGCAUGGUUUGGAUUGUCGUUUUUAUGUGAGUUAGAUCUUUUACAUUGUGCACAAAUAUGGUGUCUGUGUCUGGCCAGUAAAAUCAGUGAUUUUCUGUGGUUGGUAGGUCAAAUGGUGCCAAUAGAAAUGGAUUGGGGUAUUGGAUGUGGUUGCUAGGAUUUGUAAGUGUUAGAUGCAAUUGAUUGGAAGUAAAUGAUCCUUGUUGACUUUCUCAUUUACGUACUCAUUCCCCCCUCUCAUCUUCUAUAUAGAAAAGGGCCCCAAAUGAGCAAAUGCUUGUGAUGGAGGGAAUGUGGUGUAGGGCAAGAGCAGGAUCAGCGGACGGCUGGAAGCUAAUGUAGAGUGAGGAUGUUGGUGUUGCAUGUACUCCGCAUUCUCGAGGUUUACGGGUGAAGUGGUGGGAGGUGUAAAAGGCGCUGGAUUUCAUGCAGCCGAGGAUGAGGUGUAGUACGAAUGGUACAGUUUUGGACGGUAUCGAGUUCGACAGUGGAGGUUUGAAGUUGCUGUCAAUGUCUUGGGCUGUCGGGGCAAGCACGGGUAUGUGAGGGAAGGGGUUGACAUAGAAUUACAAGAUGUGACAUGAAAGUAGUGUUUUUUUAUUUCUCCAAUGGUGUAGUUACUGUCACAAGAUGUUGGAGCAGUCGCCGAUAUUUUGUUGGAAGAGUUUCGUUUGUGGAUCAUUUUCCUGCGCUAGUCGUCGUCAAUACAAAGUUUUGCCAUUUGGCGUUGCUCAACGCACGGGUGGUUACGGCCUGGCAAUUUUUCCUCACAUGUUUUCGAAACUUGUGAAGUGCUGGAAGAUAUUGAAACAAGUUCAAUCAACUUUUUAAUAGAAUUAGAAAUAACCCAAGAUUUUAUUUAAUUCGACAAUGCAAUAGUUCACUUUGCAAUGUUGAUGUCUUGAAAGAGCGUUAGAUCAUCCUCCCCUGUUUCUUCCAAUAGAAGGCAGCUAUAAAAGUUAAAAAUUAGUCUCAUUUGUAGUACAAUAAGAUGUUAUCCACUUAUUUUUAAUUUAGUCUAUCAUUUUUAGUAUAAUAUGAUGUGGAUUAUAUAUAAAUCAUUUUUCUUAGAUGUGAAUUGUCACCAAAUUGAUAUGUUUUGGAUAUCUUUUCUCAUUCAUGCUAUUUUUUUUUUUUGUAUGCAAGGUUGUUUUUUAUAGUAGAAAAGUAUUGUUUAGUGUAAUGUUUAUUAAUGUAUUCUAUGUCUUCAACAGUGUAUUAUGGGAUUAAUUACACAAUGAUGGUGAUUUCUUUUUAUAUUGUUUUACAAUUAGCAUAUAUGAAUAAAUUAAGAAUUUUGUGUUGUUUUAUUAUCAACUGAUUAAUCUUGUCAUUGAUUCCACGGCAUUAAAAAAUCUUAUUUGUACUAGUCAAGAGAUAAUAGACCACCAUAUAUUUUGCACAUGCAUAAAAUUAGCAACUCUUGGUUUUCCAAAAUACUCUCAAUUAAAGCCACAUUAAGUAAUUUCUAUUAAUUUUAUACUUUUUGAUUUAUAAAUUAAAAUACAACAAUUGUAACCAAUUUUUUUUUCUUUCUAAAAGAUGAUACUUGAUCUAUUUCAGUAUCAUGAAUUAAAGACAAAUCAUAUAUACAUAUAUAUAUAUAUAUAUAUAUAUAUAUUUAAUUUAAUUUAUUCAACUAAAUUGUAUUAAAUAGCUAUGGUUUACAAUUUGAUUAAUUUCUUUUGAUUUCUUUAUACAACUAGUGAAUAUGGGCUAUAAUAAUUGAAAAGAUGUAAUUUGUCUAUCUCCAAUAUUAUUUUUACUAUCUUACUUUUUAUUUAGCAUGUAUCAUUUUUAAUAAAAUUUGGAUCUAACAUUAUGAAUUUAUUUAUUUUAUUUAUUUAUUCUUGUCUCUUUAUCUUUAUUUAUCUUCUUGAUAGGCAUCUUUGUGAUUAGAGCUUUUCUAGUCUUAUCUAAUGGAUUCAACUUAAACUAUGUAUUUUAGUUCUAUAUUGGCAAUUACAAAAUUAUAUUUAAAAAAUGUGACAAAUUUAUUGAUAUCUUUUCAUUAAUUUUUUAAAAAUAUAUACAUAAAUUUAAAAAUUAAUAUUAAUAAUAUUAAUAAUAAUAAUCUAUUAAUUAGUCUUAUUCAUCUUUUUUCAAUCUUAAUUGUAUUGUUAGAUCUAUUCUUAAAGAUAGAAUAUUUUUUAAUUAUAUAUUUUUUUAUUUUAUUUUUUAAUACUAUUAUUUACUCUCUUUUAAAGAGAAUUAUAUCUUCUUAAAUCUCUUGCUUUUUAAUUUCUUAAAAUUUAAAACCUUGUUUUAUAUCUAAUCAUAUUUUUAAAUUUAUUUUUGCAUUGGAUUUAUUUUUAAAUUUAUUUUUCUAAUGAAGCUUUCGUAUAUGAUAUUUUUUCUUGUAUCUAUUUUUUAAUCAAGCCUCACAUCUAUUUAAAGCACUAUAUAGAAUUUUUUGAUAUUUUUUAAAAAUUUGUUGAUCAAUUAUCUCUUCUUUUUAUUUUUUUUGAGUUGACUAAGUAUUAUUUCAAUUGUAUUAUUUAAAGUUAUUAAUCAAUGUCUUUUUAAUUUAGAAAUAUAAUUUCUUCACAUUUUUGAAGAAAAAUUAUUAUUAAUCUUGCUUUUGGUGAAAUACUCCAAAUGUGUUUUUAAUUAGUCUAUUGAAUCUUUUAUUCAUAAUUUAGACUUUGUACAUUACCAUUGGCUCAUCUAACUUCCCAAAAACCUUAGAUUGCUUAAACAUUGUUUUUUAAUAUGCAAUAGAUUUGACUAUUUCUUUUAAAAAAAAUUAUAUUUCUUAAUGUAUAAUAUAAGUGUUUGUGGUACUUGAGCCAAAGAUACUUUGAUUUAGUCUUUUGUUAAUAAUAUUAGCUCAAAUUUCUAAAUCCAUAAAAAAUUUCACAUAUUUAUAGCUUCUAAAAGUAGUAGUACUUGCAUCUCUUAAAUCAUGGUAUAUUAUUUAAAUGCUUAUUUUAAUGUUGUUUUAAGGUUUUUAAGAGGUUUUGUCAUUAAAAAAAAAUCCAUAUCAAAAAUGUUUGACUUUUUGUUGCAACUAAUUAUUUAAGAAAAUUACAAGAACAUAAAAUUAUCUAUAUAUAUAUAUGUAUUAAAAUGACAUAAUUUACAUCAAAUACACAAAUUAGACAUGCACGUGAAACUCCAAAUAUAUAAAUUCUAAAUUUUAGCACUAAUUAAAAUCUCCAUUUGAUCCUUAAAUUACUAACAAAUUCAAAUUACUAUCUUUUAGAAGUCAAAGAUUACACGUAUUUUUUAUAUUCAACUUUUGAAUAAUAUAUUUUUAAAAUUAAUAUAAAAUAUUUUAAAAUAUUUCUAAUAAUAAGAAUAAAAUUUCAAAUAUAUGACAUAAAAUUUUAAAUUUAGAAAAGAUAUUUGUAAGUAAUAGUGAAAAAAAUAAAAAAAUAAAAAAAUAACUUAAAAAAAUAAUGUACUAUUACCUAAUUCUUUUGUUUUCUUAAAUGUUUUAUUCUUAAUAAUUUCUAAACUACAUAUCUUUUAAUAUAAAACUUUUAAAGGAUAAAAAUAAAUUAUAAUAAUAAGUAUUAUUUAAUUAUAAUAAAAAAUUAUUUAAAAUUAUUUUGAAAUAUAAAAGCUCAAAUCUUAAGCUUUGAUUUUGUAGGAUCAAAAAUCCUCUUCAUCUUAUUAUUUUAUUGUUGUCUUUUGUUGUAUUAUUAAAAAUAAUUCCUACUUUAUAACUAUUUUUUAUUAAAAUUUUAAAAAAAUCUGUCAUAGAUAUUUAUAUUUAUUCUAAUAAUAUUCUAUAUAAUAUGAAUAGGUAGAAGUACAUAAAAGUAUAUAAUUUUGAUAAUAUCUUAUAGAAAACCUUUUUAAAAGCUUUAUAGAUAUGUUUUCAUCUUUAUACAUGUCUAUAGAUGAUUGACAAGUUAAAAACUCAACCAACAAGCUGGCUACAUAUUGCACAUGUUGAUAACUUGUGGUAUAAGUUUGUAAUAGGGUAUAGAUAAGAUAACUAUAUAAAUACUUAGAACCACGGAAGUUCUUAGAAUUAGGAUUAGAUUAAUAGACUAGGUAGGAUCCAUUGUAGAACAUUCUAGAAAGGAUUUAAGGCAGUUAUCUAGAUAAGGCCUACCAUAGAACCUUCUAAAAGAAGAAUUUAAGGCAGUUAUCUAAGUAGGGCCCACUAUCUAAGAUCAUUCUAGAAAGUCUAAGGUGGUGGGACAAAGUAUAAAUAGGACUGAUCAAGGUCUUUUGAGGCAUCUAGUCAAGUAUGGCUUCGGAUCUUUUUUCUUAGUAAAGUUAGGUUCUUCAUCUUUUUAUUCAAAUUUGUUUUAUUUUUGUUUCUAUUUGCUCAAUUUUAUCUUUUAUAUCUUAUUUUUUUUAGUUUUGCUCAGUUUUAUUCUAGUUUGUUUUAUCCUAUUUUGUAAAGAAGCCUUAUGUUGUUGUAAAUUGAAAGGAUCUUGUUUUUUUUUAAUUAGUUUAGUCAUGUUUUAUUGGUACUAGAGUCAGUACUAGAUUGUUUAUUUUUGGUAGCAUGUUAAUAAUCAUCAUUUAGUCCAAGGUCAAUUGUUGUGGUCACACUAAGUAUAGUGUUGAGGCUAUCACAAGCUAUUCUUGAAAAGUCAAUCAGGAGAUGAAAAGGCAUUAUAAUAGUAAAGUCUAAUGGAGAAAUUAUAGUAUGAAAGAUAUGGCAGAGCAAUCCCAGAUUGAGACUCAAAUACACCAUCUCUUAGACCAGAUAGCUACUUUACAAGGUAGUUCAAGAUAGAUUUUGUGACUAGAAGGUGUUUGAGACCAAGUUUAGGAAUUGACUUUGGCCCAUGAAUGCAAAAAAGAUAGCAAGCGAUCAGUUGGCAAAUCUUACACAAGCUAGAUCAGUGCAAGAUUAUAUCUCUUGAUUCAAGUCUUUAUGUCUCUAAAUUGAAAAUAUUUUAGAGGCAAAGAUGAUGGAUCAAUUCCUUCAAGGUUUGAAAUGUGAAAUCCAGCGAGAGAUAGAACUAAGGGAUCCACAAACAUUUGAAGAGGCAAUUCAGAUUGUAGAGAGGGUUGAUGCUUUAGAUUUCAGAAAUUAUAGAGCAUGACCUAUAGCACAAAGUCUUAUGCUACUAUUUAAUAUUAUGGUACAACAACCAAUGCCAAUAGAGAUUGAUGCCUUACAAGGAUCAUUGACAUUACAAAGACGACAAAUAUUGGUGCAAAAAGGAUUAUAGUUCUAUUGUUGAGAACUAGGCCAUGAGAUCAGAGGUUGUCCAAAAUGUCAAAGUAUAAGUACUAGUAGGAUAAGGCAGAUUCACAGUCUCAAAAUUCAUUAAGCCAAUAAUGAAUCAGAAUAAGAAAACAAGACUCUCCAAUAAAGGCACCAAGAACCAAUAUUGGGAGUAACUAUUGUCUCUUAAAGACAAAUGGCAUAGCCUCAGAUAACUAUAAAAAAAGAGUCGAUUGGUGCUUCUAAUGAGACUAUUAAGAAGACAACUAUAUCGAAUGCUUGUAGAUUGUGAUUCUAUAGAAAAUUACAUCUCAAUUGAAAUUGCCAAUUGGCUUGGAAUUAAAAUCAAAGAAAUCAAAAGAAAAAGUAUAUAUCUUGUAGAUGACCAAGAGAUCGUAUUGAUUAAGACUUGUGUAGAAGAAAUCUUGAGAUUGAUGGACACUUACAUCUUAAGAGAGAGAUUCAAGGUAAUAAAGCUAAGGUAUGAUGUUACACUUGGUAUGCCAUGGUUGGAGAUGGAAAAUAAGCAAGUUGAUUGGGUAGCAAGGACAAUCUCUUUUAAAGAUGGAAGAUGCAAGGUAACUCUUUGUAUCUCUACAUCAAGUGAAGAGAAAAGAUAAUUUGUAAUUAAAAACUUAUUUGUAGGGACGACCUUUAUGAAGAAGCAACUACAAUGUAAGCAACCAAUAUAUAUGGUGGUUCCAAAUCUUGCGUCAGUGAUUAGAAAGACAAUUGAAGGGAUAAAAUAGAUAGAAUAAUUCAUAUGGGAAUAUGAGGAUGUCUUUCUAAAUGACUAAUCUAGUGGUGUACUUCCUGAUUGAUGUGCCUUCUUUCAAAUAGAACUAUUACUUGGAACCAAAUGAAGAAGUCAACCAAUUUAUUUCCUAGCACCAAAAGAACUUGAAGAGCUACGGAAGACAUUAGACAAACUCUUAGAAAAAGGCUUUAUUUGAGAAAGCACAUCACUAUAGAGAACACUUAUACUCUUUGCAUCUAAGAAAGAUGGUAGACUUUGUCUUUGCAUCAACUAUUGAGGUCUUAAUAAGCAGACUGUUAAGAAUGUAUAUCCACUUCCGCAUGUGGAUGAUCUUGACCAACUUUGAGAUAUAAUAAAUUAGAUCUUUUGAGUGGAUAUUGGCAAAUAUCUAUUACAAGAGAAUAUGUAAAAAAGAUGACAUCUUAUACGUGCUAUAGACAUUUCAAAUGGCUAGUUUUAUCCUUUGGACUCACGAAUGCUCCACCCUCUUUCAUGGAUCACAAGAAUAGAUUGUUUUAAGACCUUUUAGAUAAGUAUAUAGUUGUCUUCAUUGAUGAUAUCCUCGAAUAUAGUAAAAUCUUUGAAGAGCAUGAACAGCACUUAUGAGAGGUGCUAUACUAAUUGUAAGAUAGUUGCUUUUAUUGUAAGCAAUCAAAAUGUGAACUUUGGAAGUCAGAAGUCACCUUUUUGAAGCAUGAGGUGUCCUCUGAAGAUAUGCAUAUGGAGCACAAUAAGAUAAAAGUAAUAGAAGAUUGGCCAAUUCUCAAAGAUGCUUCUAAAGUUUGCUCAUUUUUAGGCCUUGCUUGAUACUAUCACCAUUUUGUUUAGCAAUUUGUUCACAUUGUUGUAUUAUUGACAAACCUAUUAGAGAAAGGUGCUUCAUUUGAAUGGAAACUAGAGCAGCAAAAUGCCUUUGACAAGUUGAAGGAAGCAUUCAUUAUUACUCUAAUAUUACAACCGUAUGAUUCUAUUUUCCUUUGUACGCUGUCAACGUAGAGAAAGUUUGCCUCAAGAAAGUAUUGGACUCCUGGCUACCACUAAUUAUUCAAUCAAGUCUUAGUAUAAGAAAGGCCAAGUUUUUAUAUAUAUCUAGCACAUUUAUGAGCAAUUAUACUAAAUAUAUAAGUCUUAAGUUUCCAAAAAUAUCCAAAAUAUGAUAAAAAAAAAAUUCUAAAUCCUUAUAUAUCCUUAUGGGAUAUUAUUCUUAAACUUCAAAAAUUCAUAUCUUCUAAUUGGACUAUUCAAACAAACUCAAAUUUUACACAAAAUUUUGAUGUACUUCUAACAACUAUCACAACAAAUUUCAACUAUAAAUUCGUUGCAAAACUUAAGAUAUCACCAAAAUCCUAACAGUAGCUUCAAACACUAGUUUUUAUACACCUACGUAUAAUUCUUUUUAUAUUUCACAAAUUAAGCACUCGAAUGCUAUAAAAUUUAUAUAUAUAUAUAUAUAUAUAUAUAUAUAUAUAUAUAGCUUCUUAAACAUAAUAAUCUAUCUUCUUCAAAAAAUUAGAGCCAAAAAUUCGUCCAAAAAUUCAAGAUAUGGCUCCAAUCAUUACUAUGAACAAAAUCACUUACUUACUGCCUUUGAUUUGGAUGCACUGACUUCAACUCUCUAUAACUUCUUCAUCCAAAUUCUAAAUUCAUCAAUAACAUAUGAAAGAUGUAGCUGAAAAAUUGAUCUCUCCAAUCCUAGUUGCCGAUCCUUCGUUGCUCUUUGUAAAUGUAUGUUAUAUCCUAAAGAAUAAUAGUAGGUAUGAAAUUCACACUUUAACUUCGAGUGCCAAUAAAUCCUUCAUAAAAACUCCAAAUCACAUAAAAUUUAUAUCCAAUCCAUAUCCAAAAACCUAAAAUUGAUGAUCUUAGCCUCCAAAGCUCGAAUGAUCUGAGAAUAAAAAUCCUAAUUCUUAAUAAAGCCUAUGACAGCCUCCUUAAAGUCCAUUGGGCAUGGCAUUUGAUCAAUAGGGAUGAAGUUCUCCAUUCCUUACCUUCAUUUGACCAUGCCUUACUUUCAUCCCUCUCAAUUAGCUUCCUACUAAUUUAGAUUUUCAUCUUUAGGCUUCCACCUUCUUCCAAGGCUUCAUACUAAAUAUUUAGGUCUCAUAUAUUUUUUUUAAUGCCAAAAUCAAAACAAGUAAAAAAAAAAAAAAAAAAAAAGUAAAUUUUCUUAUAUCAACUCUCUUUAAAUUAAUCUAUAAACCAUUCUAAUAUAUAGCAAGACUUAUAAACAUAUUACAUAUUUUAAUUAAUUUUUACAUACUAUAAGGAAUUACAGUAUCACAACGCUUGACAUUGAUGCUUCCGACUUUGCUUUUGGAGUAGCCCUUCAAUAAGACUUUGAUAGAAGCAGUCAACCUGUGGCAUAUGGAUCACGCAAGUUCAGAAGGAUAGAGCAUAAUUACUUUGUAUAUGAUUCGGAGUAAUUAGAGAUUGUAUACACUACAAAGAUGUGGUGAUACUAUCUAUUGUUAAAGCUAGUGAUAAUUUAGACUAACCAUUGGUCCUUGCUAAAUGAUUUGCAUCUAAAAAAUAUGAAAUCGUAGCAUCAUCGUUGAGAAAAACAAUUGCAGUUCUUUCAUAUCCAGCUUGAGUACAAGCAAAGGCGACAACAUAUUGUACCAAAUAGCUUAUUAUACAGACCAGACUUGUAAGACAAAUUAGAAGACAAGGCAAAAUUUGCUACCAUUAGUAGCAUCAUUUCAAAUCUAAUCAAAAAGAUAAAAUAGAAAGAAGCUAUACAACUGAAUGCUUAUUUUAAGAUGAUUAGCAAUCUGUUGAAGGUCGACGAUAUACAAUAUCAAGAUUACACUCUUAGUGAAGGCUUGUUCUAUUUCAAGCAAUAAAUUUAUGUAUCCAACAAUGCUAAACUCUAGAUGUGCAUAUUUCAGGAGCGACAUGACAUCCUAAUAUUUGGACAUCUGAAACAAAAAAAGAUCUCAAAAUAGAUUUGAAGGAUAUGUUUUUGGACAAGUUUAGAUUGUGAUGUUCAAGCCUUUGUAUGCUCUUGCAAAUCAUAUCAAUGUAAUAAAACAUGCAACGUAGCGUCUCCUAGACUAUUGCAAUCAAUUUCGCUAUCCACAGCGUGUUGAGAGUAGGUGACUAUGGAUCUCAUUAUAAGUUUGCCACGGAUGCCACAUAAUCAUAUUGUGGUUUCUAUCUUUGUGAAUCAAUUCUCGAAGCAACUUCAGUUGGCCAAGGUACACUUGGAUAUUGAUGCCCCAAUGCUUGCAUGAGUCUUCUUUGAUAUUGUCUUUUGUCACUAUAAAUUACCUCGUGUCAUUAUUUCAAAUUGAGAUUCAAUCUUCACAAAAAGAUUUUGACAAGCCUUGUUCAAGCUACUAGAUACAUGACUUGCCAUGUCUACAACCUUCUAUCCUCAAAUAGAUAGACAAAUAGAGUGUGCCAAUCGAACCUUAGAAGAUAUACUAUGGAUAUUUGUGGCAGUUCAUCAUAAUGAUUGAGAUGAAUAUUUUACAUCCUUGGAGUUUGUUUAUAAUGAUAGUAUUCAAACAAGUAUCAAUCAUUCACCAUUUUUUUUUAAUAUCGAUUAACAUUUGAUUAUGCCAACAAUUCUCUAUCGUCUCAUUGACACCAAUAACUUGACAAUGGAGGAAUUUAUACAAUGGCUUACAAUGGCCUUACAAUGGCCUUACAAGAGGCACAUGAGUACCUUGUUACUUCAUAGAAUUGACAGAAGUAGUAUGCAGAUAACCAUCGGCAACACAAGACUUUUAUUUUGCUCAUACCAUGCUUAGUCAGAAUUUUAUGAAGAUUUUUUAGAAUUUUAUUAGCAUAUUUUAGGAUUUAUUAGGAAUUUUUUAGUUUUUUUUAAGGAUUUUAUUAGAGCUACAUUAGAAUAUGAUUAAGAUUACUUAAAUUUUUUAUUUUUAAUAUUUCAAAUAGAUUCUUUAUUAUUUCUUUGAAAUUUUUAUUUUUAAUAUUUUUUUAGGAUUUUUUUUUUAGAUUUUUAAUUUUAGUAUUUAUUUAAUUUUUUAAUUUUUAUUAUUAUGAUUAAUUUAUGUUUUUUUAAAUAAUUUAUUUUAAGAUUUUUUUGGAUUUUAUUAAAAUUUUAUUAGAAUUAUUAAAGUUUAAUUGGAAUUUAUUUAGGAUUCUAUUAAACAUGUUAAAACUUUGUUGGUACAAUUUCCUAUUUAUCUUCUAUAAUUAGAUGCUUGGUAUAUUUUCAAGUAUGAAUUUACAUACUAUGAUAAUGGUAUGUUUUAAAUCUCUUACUAUGCAGAAAAGAACUUGUCAUUGUCAAGAAGUUUUGUGCUUAUAAUAUGAAGAUCUUGAGCAUACUUCUCAAAAUUGUUUAAAGAAACAAUGCAAUGACAAAAUAAAAAAUAUGGCUGUUAAAGAAGAUAAUAUGUUCAAAAAUAAUUUUUUCUAACUACAAUAGGAACCAUGCAAUUGGAAUCUUCUUCAAUACUUAGUAAAGGUCAUAUUUUUUCCUCAAAAUUCUCUUUUUAUUUUACGAUAAAUAUUUUUUAAGGACCUAAAAAUCACAAAGCCUUUAUUCUACUAUAUUUAAAAAUUUUAAUUUUUUUUUUCGAUGAAAAGUGUCUAAAAAGAUAUAACAUAUCUUUACUAGAGAAAACCAAACUUAUACAUGUAAAAGACAUAUAUGGUCGUUAGUGGUUUUUUAUAGAUAUAAUUUAUUAAAUUAUUCCUAUAAAAAUAGUAACUAAUGGUAAUAAUAGCUUUUUAAUAUUAAUAUUAUUAGAUUACCUUCUAAUCCAAUCAUUUUAGAUUUAUUGUUGAUAAAAAAAUAUAAUCUUUAGAUAGAUUGAAUUUCUUAUAGUCUUAAUUUUUUUCAAAGUACAACUAAGAGUUUUGUUAAAGAGUUAAAAUAUUAAAUUCUAAUAUAAUCAAAUUCUUGUUUUCUAGAUAUAAGAGCUUUUAUAUAUAUUAAAAAAUAAUUCAUAUUUUGUCAUUUAUGUCACAUCUAUUUAUGAUGGUAAAAAGACUUCAAGUAACAUUUCAAGCUAGUAUCAAGAUUAUGAAGACAUUUUUGAAAAGAAGAAUAAUCUUCCAAAGCGUAAUGUUUUUGAUUGCUCAAUAAGCUUUUAAGAAGGACCUCAAUUUUUAUUUUGAUUAAUCUAAAAUUUAUCAAGAAAUAUUUUGAUUAAAAAUAUAUUGAUAAGAACUUAAUCAAAUUUUUUAUACACCAUUCAAAAUAUCCAAUAAAAGCUUGUAUGAUAUUUUUGAAGAAAAAUAUGAAUGAAAGACUAUAUUUUAAAUUUAAUAUAGGCAUUUUGAAUAUAAUGUCAUACCUUUUAGACUUACAAAUGCAUUAGGUGCUUUUCAACAUCUUAUAAAUAAUAUUUUUUGAGAGUUUUUAGAUAAUUUUAUUAUUUAUUAUCUAAAAAAUACUUUAAUUUAUUCUAAAAGUAUAAAAAAAUCAUGAACUUCAUAUUUGUCAUGUGUUAUAAAAACUGAAAGAUGUAAGACUAUAUACCAUGAUAAAAAAUAAAAAUAAAAAUAAAAAUAUUUUAUACUACAAAAGUUGACUUCUUAAGAUGUAUCAUUUCAAAUGAUGGUCUUAUAAUAGAUCCUAAGAAAGUUCAAACUAUCAUGAAUUGAAAGAUUUUAAGAACCAUAAUAAAGAUCUAUUUUUUUAAAAAAAAUUAUCAAUUAUUACCAAAUUUUUAUCAAGAACUUUUUUUAAGUUCCAAUUUUAUUUACAUGUUUGAUUUGUAAAGAAAAAUUUGAGUGGAAUAAAGAAGCAAAAAUACCAUUUGAAGUUUUGAAGACAACUUUUAUUUUUGUUUCAAUCUUAUAUUACAUCAAUUUUAUUAAGGUAUUUUGUAUGAAAAUAGAUUUAUCAAAAUUUGUUUAAAGUGUGGUAUUGCCACAAAUAAGAAUAGAUAAAAUAAUCUAUCAAAUAGCUUUUUAUUCAAGAAAUUUUUUAACAUCUGAGAUCAACUAUAAGACUCAUCACAAAAAACUACUUGCAAUUAUAGAUUCAUUUAAAGAAUGGUGUCAAUAUCUAGAAGCUACUUUUUAUUGAGUUAUUAUUUAAAUAGAUUACAAGAACCUCAAGUAUUUUAUGUUAGCACAUGUUUUGAAUUAUUGAAAAGUGCAUAGAAAUAUAUUCUUGUUAAGAUUUCUAUACAAUAUCAUUUAUUGGCAAAGAUAAUAAUAAGGUUUGUUAGAUGAAUUUUUUAGACAUUCUUAUCUUACAUCAAAAAAUAUAUAAUUUUUGAUUAAUGAAAAGGCCAUAUGACCUUUUUGAACAUAUAUGACUUUUUUCAACCAUUAUCUAUACCAAAACAAUAAGUCUUUUAUUUCUAUGGAUUUUAUCAUAGAUCUACUUAUUUUAAGUUUUUAUGAUCUCAUAUUUAUAAUAGCAGAUUAUUUUAUUAAGAUGUUAUAUUUUCAACUAUAUACAAAAAUUAUUGCAAGUGAAAAAAUAUUUAAACUUUUUCUUCAUAAUAUUAAUUGAUAAUAUAAAUUACAAAUGAAUACUAUAUUUAAUAGAGAGAUUCAAUUUGUGUCAAGGUUUUGGAAAAUCCUUUUGAAGAUAUUAAAAGUAAAUAUAAAAUUAUAUUAUUAUUAUUAUUAUUAUAUUGAUAGAUAAAAAAAAAUUAUAAAAUAAUAUCUAAAAUAUACCAUUAAAUAUCAUUAAGAUUAUUAGACAACUAUUUUGCUAUUAGAAAAGUUUACUUAUAAUAAUAAGAUAUAUUUUUUUACUCAAUGAAUUUCUUUUUUACUAAGUAUAAUUAUCAUCUACAACUUGAUACCUUUUACUUCUAAUAAGUUGAUAAUCUUUUGGUAGAAGAUUUAAAAAAUUAUUUAUCAAAACUACAUACAACAAUAAAAACAUAAUUAGAGGAAAUACAAAAACAAAAAAUGAACAAUAUAAAUGCCUAUUGCAAAGAAAAAUUUUAAUUUUACAUUAGAAACAAGAUAUAAUUACUUUUUUGUAAUAAUAAGACUAAUUGCCUUUGUGAUAAGUUGAAUUAUUAUAGAUUUAGACCAUUUUUCAUUUGUAAAUACAUUAAUCCAAUUGCUUAUCAAUUACACCUAUCAAAAUCUAUAAAGAUCUAUCUCAUCUUCUAUAUGUUUCUUCUUGAGUCAUAAAAAAAUAUUAAAUAUCUUGAAAAGAAGAAAAUUUCCACCUCUUUUUAUAUAAGUAGAUAAUAAUCAAAAAAUAAAAUUAAAGUACUUGUUUUAAGUUACAUAAGAGUAUAUUAAGUUUUCGGUUCUUUGAUAUUCAUAUCCUUUAGAGUUUAAUAAAAGUGCUCAUUCAUUGUUCUUAUCUUAAUUAUAGAAGUAAGUUGACCACCUCAUUUUCAUUUUUGUAUUUUGAAGGUUGCAGACUACUCACCUUCAAUCUAACAUUUCAACUUCUUGAUAUAAUUUUUUCCUUAAAAAGAAUAGACUAUCUUUGCAAAAAAUUUCAUUUGAUAUUAGAGCUUGUGGAUUAUUCUCAUCUAAAUUAACUUAUAGAUUUGUUUGAAUUGUCUGUAGAAGUAAAAAUUAUAGAUGCUACUCUCAAAAAAAAUAAGAAUAGAUUUGCAACCAUUAUAUAUCUUCAGAAGUUUUUUAACACUCUUAAGAUAGAGAUCUCACAUAUUCUUAACAUCAACUAUAGAUAUAGUAUUCCAACACCUAUAGAAGAAGUCAAUAAUAAAAUUAAAAGUCUAUAUCAAGAAGUUGUGCAAUUGAAAAAAAUAAAUAGAUCAAAUUCAUAAUUAAAUCCAAGAAGUCUUACUACUAUAAGUAUGAAGGAGAUAAGGGUAAGUAUAUCAAAGAAGUUUUAGGAUUUAUAUAACAAAUAAAGAUCUAUCUAAUGUUGUAUUAUUCUUAAUAUCUUAAUAGAUUUAUUCAAAUUGGAUUCAUUUAAAUAAUUCUCUUUGAAAGUGUUCUUUCUUGAUUUGUACUUUUUAUGAAAAAAGAUUCACGGCUAUUCUAUGAUUUGAAUUUAUUUUUAGAAGUAUUUAUGGCUACAUUUGGAAAAAAUCAUCAAGAAAGAAUAUCAAAGACUAAGCUCAUAUCUCUGAAUAGAAUCACAUUUAGUUACCAUAUACUGUUGAAUUUUAAAAUCUUACUUGUAAUGUGGAUUGGAAUGAUAAAGCACUUAUCAAUUAAUUUUCAUAUAGAUUGAAAGAUAAUAUCAAACAUUUAUUAUUGAUAAUUUGUCAAAGAUAUGAAUCUUGAAAAAAGAAAAUCCUCAACAUAGUCUUGUAUCAUUGAAAGAAACUAAAAAGGUACUAAAAGAUGAUAUAAUAUUCAACUAGAAUAGCUAUUGAUAAAAAUAAGAAGACUAAAAAGAUGUGAAACAAGAUUAAGGACUAGAAAGGCAUUAAUAAGAAUGAAGAAGGCUUCACUCUUGCUUUCAUAUAUAUAUAUAUAUAUAUAUAUAUAUAUAUAUAUAUAUAUAUUCUCUAACCAAAAACUACGUGACAAUAUUCUAUAGGACCUCCAAUAUUUGUCGACUUUACUAGCCACAUGUCUUAACUUGCAAAGCAAGUUAUCUAUGUAUGCACUAUAUAAUUAGCUUAUUUCACAAGCUUCUUCAUGGAGUUAACUUAUUCUACAAGCUAUCAACACGUGGUUAAUUUAUUGGCUAAGUUUCUAACCUACAAUCACAUAUAAAGUCAAAACUACAUCUAUAAAGCUUCUAAGAAGCUUUUCUAGAAGACUUUAUGAAAUUAAUUUAUAUUUACCUACUUCUCCCUAAUCAUAUAAGUAACUAUUGAGAUUAUGUAUAUAUUCAUGAUAUUAAUCAUCCUUCUAGAGAUGAGUUUCAUGAGAAGUGGUUAUCAUCUUUCAUGGAUCUUUACAAUUCUUCAGCUUGGUUUUGAUGGAUGUCGUUAAUAAAAGGCUUCAAACUUCUUUGUUGAAUUUACAAGAUUCUUUACUGGUUCUUGUGUGUAUUUGCUAAUAUCAUAUCUAUGCCAAUGAAUAAGAUAUUCUAACCUAUUUUUGUACUGCCUUGAAUUUAAGACUUCUUCUACUUCGAACUCUUGAUUAUUAUCCACUUCUAUAGAAAGUGGUGGCAUUUGCCUUCUUCUUGAGAUAUUAACUAUCUUAUAUGACUAAAAAAAGGGAUAUGUGAAAUACAAGGUGGAUCUUUAUAAACUUCGGUAGAUGUAAUCGAUAAGCAAUAGAAUUGAUUUGUUUACAAAUAAGAAAAGUUUCCAGCCUACGAUAGUCCAACUUAUCACAAGGACAAGUAGUCUUGAUAUUGUUAUGAAGUAAUCAUAUCUUGUCACCUACAUUGAAUUAUAGUUGCUCCUUAUAAUAGGCAUCGACAUAGGUCUUUUUUCAUUCUUGAGCUCCUUAAAUUAUGUCUUCAUUGUUGCAUGUAGCUCUAACAAAUAAUUUGCUAAAUCUUUUGCUAUAGGAUUAUCAACUUUUCAAAAGUCAAAAGCAUUAAGUCAUGGAUGAUAACCUUAAUUGGCAAAGAAAGAUAUUUAUUGAAUAGAAGAAUGUAUCAAAUUAUUAUAUGUAAACUCUAUCAAUGGCAAAAAAGUUGUCCAAUCAUUUUGAUGUUAAUUGAUGGUACACCUCAAAUACUGCUCCAAAACUUAAUUCAUCCAUUCUGUUUGCUCAUCAAUUUGAAGAUAAAAAGCUGAAGAGAGCUUUAUAUCCACUUUUAGAAUCUUUAAUAGGAUUCUCCAAAAUUUUGAUAUGAAUUGAGUCUCCUUAUUCAAUAUAAUAUUCUUUGACAAUCCAUGAUAGCAAUAGAUAUUGUCAAUGAAAAGCUUAGUUAUUUCUUCUCUUAAAAUAGAUUUUAUACAUAUUACAAAAUAUGCCAUUUUUGUGAAGCAAUCUAUAAUUAUGAAUAUAGCAUCAUAUGAAUUUGAACUUGAUAGAUCUAUAAUGAAAUCCAUAGAGAUGGAAGAUCAUGAUUGUUUGAAUAUAAGCAAUGGUUGGAAAAAUCUAUAGCAUUGAUGACGAGGAGUUUUUGAUCUUGAACAAAUGUCACAUAAUUAGACAAAGUCUUUUACUACUUUUUACAUUUACAACGACCAAAAAUCUCUAAAUAUAAUCUCUAAAGCUUUAUUGUGUCCAAAAUAUUCUAUUCUUAGAAAGUCAUGAUGUGCUUGAAGAAUACGUAAAUGUGCUUAUUCUUUUAGAACAUAUAAGCAUUUUUCAAAGUAGAGUAGGUUGUUUUUGAAUCCAAACUUUGAAAUACCAUAAGACUUAGAAGAAAGAUUCUUGAUAUCAUGAACAAGAGAAUCAAAGGACAUACUUGAUUGAAUUUGUUUUAGAAAGGUCAAAUCAACAGUUAAUGUUGAUUUCAUUACUCGAAGAUAAAAAUACUUUGACUUCAAGAGGAUUAUUUUUUAUUGAUCAAAAGAUACGUCUCCUUCUUUUUGUGCAUGGUAAGAAUGUCUAAAAAGAACAUCUCAUAAACCUUCUUGUUUUUCAAGUCAAUGUCAAGGACAUACACUAGGAAGUUGUAGAAGUUUCUAGAAGGUUCUAAAAAAGCUUUGUAAUUUAUAGAAGCUACUUGAAAAGUUUUUAAGCUUGUGGAAGUUGCUUGAAAAGCUUCUUAGCUCAUGGAAGCUGCUUGAGAAGCUUCUUAACUUAUAGAAACUGCUUGAGAAGCUUCCAAGUUUUAGGAAGCUACUUAUAAAGCUUCCUAGCUUGUAGUGUAUAUAGGAGCUAAGAUUGAGGAGAUCUUUAGUCUCGACAACACAUCUCUUAGAGCUCUAGCUCACCUCUCUAGUCUUGUUCUUACACUCAUCUGAUUAAUCUAGUUCUUUUCAAUUCUUCUUGAGCUUCUUGUUUAGAUUUCUACUUAGUAUUCUAAAUUCGUAACAGUUUGUUGAGACUGCACUCGUCUUUCAUAUGAAAGCUACUUCUUUCUUGUUAGAAUGUGGAUUAUCCCUCUACUUGAAGAUGUUGGUAUUUUAUAGGUUGCGGAUUACCCUCCUCUAAACUGAUAUUUCUUCUAUUAUAAUAUUAGAGUCUUAUCUUUCUUGGAGAGAGUGAAUUAUCCCUCUUCUUGAAGGUUUUAAGCUAUUUUAGAGGUUGCGGAGUACCCUCCUCUAAACCAAUACUACCUUCUUGUAGAGUCAUCUCUUUCCUUCUCUUAGAAUGGUCGGAGGUAAGGAUAUUAGUAUGACUAAAAGUUUGGAGUCCAAGUUGGAUGCCAUUAUGAAUGCUCUUGCUACAUUAUCACAGAGAAUUAUAGAGAUUGAAGGAGUUGUUGCAAGACUUCAUAAUGAUGGAGCAUCCAAAAUGGCACAAUUGAGGAUUUACUAGCGUUAAGUUUCAAUACCAAGAGAAGCAGCUUUGCCUCUAGUUCAACAAUGACCGUUGGUCUUACGAUGAAAAGAGUCUCAAAUUAGCCUUCUAGACAAGUUUGAAGGUACGCAUUCCAAGUUUUAAGGUUUUGACAAUCGAAUUAGAUUGGUAAUAGCUUUACAGCUCGAAAGCUAUCCGAUGAAGAAGUCACGUUGUCGUACUGUAAUUACUUACAGUAUGUAAAAAUUAGUGAAAAUAUGUAAUAUGUUUAUAAGUCUUAAUGUGAGUUAGAAUAGUUAGUAUGUUAAUUUAAAAUCAAUUGAAAUAAGAAAAAUUAUUUGGAAGUUAAUCUAGUUUGAUUAUAGAUUUUAAAUUAUAUAGGAUUUAGAUAGUUAGUAUAAAGAUUAAGGGAAGGGAGGAGUUAAAAGAUGAAAAUAUAACUAAAAGGAGGCAUAUUGGGAAGGAUGAAAGUAAGGCAUGGUUGGAUGAAGGCAAGGGGUGAAGAACUUCAUCCCUAUUGGUCGAAUACCAUGCCCAAUGGGCUUUGAGGAGGCUGCCCGAGGCCAUAUUAGAGAUUAGGGUUCCUCUUUCAAGGCCAUUUGAGCUUUUGAGGCUAGGGUCAGAAGGUUUAGGGUUUUGGGUAUAAUUUGGGUGAAGAUUUUGUGUGAUUUCGAGUUUUUAUGGGAAAGAUAUGAAUGUUCAAAGAUAAGGUGUCAAUUUCAUACCUACUGUCACUUCUUUUGGGCAUCACAUACGAAUACGGAGAGCAACGGAAGAUCGGCGACUGGAUUUGGAGGGAGAAUUUUCUCGGCUACACAUUCUACUUACUAUAUAGUGAAUUCUAAGAUUAGGUGAAGGAUUUAUGAGGCGUUGAAGACAGCACUUGUAAUUUGAAGGCAGUAAGUAUAUCGUUUUGUUGCUAGUUAUGGGUGAAGCCAUAUCUUGAGUUUCUAGACGAAUUUUUGGCUCAAAAUUUCCAAAAGUGUGUGUAAUUGGGUUAAAAAGCUUUAAAUCAAAGUUUCAUAGUAUUUGAAUAAUUACUUUGUGAGAUAUGAAGGAAGUUGUACAUGGGUGUAAAAAAGCUAGGAUUUGAAGCUACAGUUAGGGUUUUCAAGAUAUCACAAGAUCCAAGACGAAUUUACAGUUGAAUUUUGGUGUGGUAGUUGCUAGAGAUAUAUCAGUACUCCAUGUAAAAUUUGGAGUUGUUUAGACGGUUAGAUCGUAAGUUAUGAGCUGUUGAACUUCGGAAAAAAUUCCUCAUAAGGAUAUAUAAGUUUUUUAUAACACCUUAUCAAGUAUUUUGGUGUUCUUUGGAUUUUAAGGCUUGUAUAUUGAUGUAAUUGCUCCAAAAGAGAGGAGUUUAUAUAUAUAAAAUUGUUACCCUUAUAUUUCAAACUCGAUUGAGUAUUUAGUGACAGCCAGAAGCCCAGCGCUUUCUUGAGGCAAACUCUCUCUACCCCGACAACGUAUUGGACUGGUUGGAACUUUGCUCACAAGACAAGUUCUAUCAUGGUUUGCUCUUUUGUUUGAAAAAAGAUCAUCAAUUUUGAAUAACUUCGAAACUUUUUUAGAAGCGUUUGUGGAAACAUUUGGCAAACAUGACAAGGCAUGAUAGGCUACAACAAAGAUCCGAUCGCUACGACAAGGGAUACGCUCUGUGUCAGUCUAUGCAUUAGAUAUCAAACAAUUAGCGUGCAACAUCAACAGGGACGAGGAAGCAUUGAUGAGUCAAUUUUAUUGGGGCUUGAGGGACGAUGUGAAGGAUUUGUUAUUAUCUCUUUCCGAUUUGCAAAUGCUCAACAAAGCCAUUAGCUAAGCCGUUGUCGUGUUAUAACACGAGUAUACUGUGAAAAUAUAAAGAAAGAGGACUUUUAUUAAUAUUUAGUUACCUCGAAUAUUGGGGGCAACGACUAAUUCCAAUGCAAAUACUGGGAGGCCAGGGUCAGUCACCCCAUUACAAUCAGCCUGAGCAUACUGAAAUGCUCUGUUCGAUUCCAAUAACGGGAGUUAGCAUAAAAGGAAAAGGACCAAUUCAACAACGGGUGAGUCUGGUUCGAAGAGCCAAUUGGAUUCAAUUUCAAGACAUCCAAUCUAGGUCUUACUAUGGGCCUCUCAGCCAAUCUGACGCGAAGGACCAAUUUGACCCAGUUACAGAAACAUCUAGGUCUUACUACGGGCCUCUUAGCCAAUAUGAGACUUGAAUUGGUCGGGCGACUCAAUGUGGUCCCGAUUACGGGGUUUUGAUUCUGUUUCAGGCUGUCCUGUUCUGUGUGCCGUUUCAAGGAACGUUGUUUUCGGUAAAAGGAUCUCUUAAAGGUAAAAACAGAGGAAAAUGCUCUGGUGGCGAGAGCCAAUUUCAGAUCCAAGCUCUAACGGGGGGAGCAAAUUUCGGAUCCAAGACGGAAGAUUGAAGAAAUUCAGAAUUAAGGUUAAGAAAUGGAGGGAGAAGGAAUAAGUUUUUUUGGGAUUUUGAAGGAUCGAGAGAGCUAGCUUCAUGCUUCGGGCGGGAAAAAAAGACAGCGAAUUGGAUAUUUUUUUUCUUCAUAGGAUUUUGGGAAGAUUGAGGCAAUCAUUGUUGAAGUUAGUGUUGUAAUGGUGAAUCGAGAUUUUUAAUGAAGUGGCUUUGAUUCCUCUUGAUUGUUUUGUGAAAUCGAGUUAUGUCUGUGAUUAAGAAUUAGAAGGGUGUCUAUAGGAUUGAAUAUGCAGAGUGAAUGAAAUUUAUUGGGUUAAUCUAACGAGACAGUUAGCGGAUACAAGAUCAUGAGUAUAAAGCGGUACCGAUGUCAUACUACGUGCUUUCCUGCUCGAGAACGCGCCUGACGUUUGGCUGUAGAAGGUACUAUGAAGAUUCGCCAAUAGUCAAGCAGUCUAUCAGUUUUUGACUGUUAGAAUAUAAACGACUGCAAGAAUAUACCGUAAAUCUAUACGGAUGCCCCUUCGACUGCUCGCCGAAGUCCUUUUUGUCCCGGCCGGUAGAUCUCUAAACGAUACAGAGAACCCCGAACAAUCCAAACUGUUAAUCUUCAGUACCGCUUUGUACUUACAAUCUUAUAUCUACUGACUGUCUUGUUAGAUUAACCCAAUAAAUUUCUUUCACUUCGCAUACUCAAUCCUAUAGACACAAUUUUAAUUCUUUCAAUCUCAGAUGUAACUCGAUUUCACAAAACAGUCAAGAGUAAUCAAACCCACUUCAUUAAAAAAAUCCCGAUUCACCAUUACAACACUAACUUCAGCAACGAUUGCCUAAGUCUUCCCAAAAUCCUAUGAAGAAGAAAAACCCAAUUCUUCGUCUUUUCUUCCCCGACCUAAAGCAUGAAGCUCCUCUCCAAUCUCCCCAAAAAAUCUCCCCACCCCCCCCUAAACCUUAUCCUCUGAAUUUCUUCAAUCUUCCGUCUUCGAUCCGAAAUUGGCUCCCCUCGUCAGAGCUUAGAUCCAAAAUUGGCUCCCGCCAUCAAAGCUUUCUUCUCCGUUUUUACCUUUAAGAGAUCCAUUUACCGAAAACAACGUUCUCUGAAACGGCACAGAGAAUAGGACAGUCUGAAAUAGAAUCGAAACCCCGUACUCGGGUCUACAUUGAGUUGCCCAACCAAUUCAGGUCUCAUAUUGGGUAAGAUGCCCAUAGUAACCUGGAUGUUCACGUAAUUGGGUCGAAUUGGUCCUCGCGUCAGAUUGGCUGAGGCCCAUAGUAAGACCUGGAUUUUCCCGUAAUUACACUGUAUUGGGUUGCCAGACCAAUGCAGGUCUCAUAUUAGAUAAGAGGACCCGGAUUGGAUUCUUGAAAUUGGAUCCAAUUGGCUCUUCGAACCAGGCUCACCCGUCGCGUGAAUUGGUCCUUUCCCUUCCUGCUGAUUCCCGUUAUUGGAAUCGAAUGGAGCAUUUCAAUAUCCCCCGGCUGACUGUAAUGGGGUGACUGAACCUGACCACUCAGUAUUUGCACUGGAGUUGGUCGUUGCUCCCAAUAUUCGAGGUAACUGAAUAUUAAUAAAAUUCCCUUUUCUUUAUAUUUUCACGGUAUACUCGUGUUACAACACGACAUCCACCCCUUUUAAACCUGUGCAUCCUCCGAUAUGCACCAAUUUAUCCAAUUGCUGUUUGAUUCAGAAUAUAUCCUCUACGUCUUUGCCCAAUUCGUCUUCGUCACCUUCAUUAUCCAAAUCACUUUCAUCUUCUUGCUGCUGAAUCUCUAUACCUUCAUUAAGGUCUUCCAUAUUCAUCUCUGCGUGUCUUCGUUUAAAUAUUUUUACUCGCUUUCCUGCAAUUGGUAUUUUCAAUUUUGUACCAUCUAACUCCCAUAAUGAGUAAGUCGCAUUAUCAUGAACAGUUGUUACCACAUAUGGUCCAAACCAACGUUUUGAAAAUUUCCGCAAAGUACUAUGUUGAUUAUCCAGACUAUUGUCAUAAACAAGUACCCAGUCACCUUUCUCGAUUGCUUUUGGUCUCAAUCGAUGUUGCUUAUCGAAUCGCACCUUGUUUUGUAACCUUGCUCUUUUUAACCUUUCCAAUGCUAUCUGCACAUCUUCCAUUCUUUGCUCCAAUUGUCCAAUCCUAAUAGCCAGAAGUUCUUUUCUUGUCAAUCCAUCUUCCCAUGGUAGCAUACUCCAAGUAAGUACCUUUUCUUCAAUCAACAUAAUUGGUUUUUGACCUGUCAUAAGUUCUACUGGCAUAUAUCCUAUCACCGAACUAUGUGUUGUUCGAUCAGCCCAUAAUGCAAAUGACAAAAACCGUGGCCACUCUUUAACUUUUCCAUUACAAGCUUUAACUAAUGCUUUCACAAUCGGUGGGUGACCGUGUUCGCUUUUUACAUUCCCUUCUCGAUUAUAAGCAGUAGUCAAUGAUAGUUUAACUCCACAUCUUUCAAAGAACUUACGAGCUUCUUGUGCAUUUAAUUCUCCACGAUCUGCAGUGAUUUUUCUUACGCAUCCGUAGUGGCAAAUGACAUCUUCAAGCAAAAACCUACAAAUCUCCUCUGUAGAUUUUGUCCUCAAUGCUCUUCCUUCUACUUGAUUUGAUAAAUCUUCACGAGCUAAAACCAAAUAUCUCAUCUUCCAUAACCCAACCGGCAUAAUAACCAAAUCAACAACCCAUUUAAAAUGAAUAGCCAGAGGAUACGUAGGAUGAAGACCAUCUCGAUGUCGGAUAUUAGAAUAUGAUUGACAGAUUUCACAUGACUCUACAAAUGAGAGCACAUCUUGAUACAUAUUUUUCUAUCAAUAUCGUUCCUUGAAUUUAGCAAAAGUAGCCCAGAUUCCUCUAUGCCCUACCCAUAAACUAUCAUGAAACUCCUUUAAUAAUUUUAGUUUUUCUUCCUUUUUGCCUAUCACUCGUUGUGGCAUCCCAAUUCCUUUCUUCGGUCACUUCCAUAAGAAUCCAUCUCAAAGUAAAAAUCCAUAUGCUUUUUUUCUUAUUUAUUUGAAUUUUUCUGUAGACCAAUUCCCUUGCUUAGUCAAGGUAUUCAAGUAAUGACUAAUAUCCAAUAAUUCUCCUUCAUAAGAUUCUUCAAGAAAUAGCUUGUCUUCUCUGUUGAGAUUUGAUAUUGAAUAGAAUUUCAAUCCGACGUCAUCAAUGUCUUCAACCAUUUCGUCCUCCCUCUCGUAUCUUGCUCGAGAUAGCAUAUCUGCUACUAAAUUGUCCUUCCUAGUAAUAUGCUUAAAUUUUGGAUUUAGUGACUUAAUAUAAGCAAUCCAUCUCAACAUUGCAAUAUGUGGCGUUGAACAGUUAAUAAUCAUUCCAAGCAAUGGCAAGCAAUCUGUUUCAAUUACUACAACUGCCCCAAUCAAAUAGUCCUUUUCAGCUUUCAUAGCCGAAACGACUCCCCAAAGUUCUCUUUUGACUUGCCAAUAUGCACGCUGACGAAUACUUAAAACUUUAGCCCCAAAUCGAACAGCAAAUCUACUCCCAUUUGAAUCAUCUUGACCCACAGCCCAUCCAAUGGCAAUUGGACUAGCGUCCAUAGUAAGAAUCACUGGUCUAUUGCACUUAUAAUCAACCUUCCUCAAUAUUGGAGGUGACAUCAAUAAUUUCUUCAAUCUUUGCAUUGCCUGAAUAUGCCUUUCUUCCCAUUUAAAUCGGUAGCCCUUGCGUAACAGUUCAUAUAAUGGAUCCGCUAUGUGAGCAAAAUGAAGGAUCCUGAUUCGAUGAAAUACACAUGCACCCAAAAACCUGCGAACUACUGUUAAAAAAUCACAAUCCUCUUUCAUCCUUCCAAUUGCAUCAACUUUAGUCAGAUCUGGUUUUCUUCUGUAAGAUCCACAUAAAUGUCCAACAAUUACAACCUCUCAUACUCCAAAUACGGACUUCAUACCCGAUAAUGUAAGAUGAACUUCUCCAAGCCGAGUUAAAAUCUUUUCACAAUCUUGUAUAUGAUCAACAACAUAUUUGCGACACCUCCUCGUAUCUAAAGUUUCAUCCUUGUCUCCUUCUCUAUACCCUUUUAUAGGAACAUCAUCCAGAAAAGGCAUAGUCUUUUCCGGAAUAAAAUCUCUCAAUACCUUAUUCAUCCCAUUCAUCAUAUGCGCAAUUGAGUUGGUCGCGCCUUGAGGAAGAGUGCACAUUCUAACCAAUCCAAGUGGUGUCCUCAUUGUUGUCAUAUCUCUACUUCCUUCGGUAAGUUGAAAUUGAUCAUAACCUGAAUACAAGUCACCCAUUGAAUAGAUCGCCCUUCCAGCAAACGCCUCAGCAAAUUCAUCCACAAUAGGUCCAAUUCCUGCAUUUCUGACAGUUACUGCAUUCACCGGUUGCAUAUCUUGAAUAAACUGUAGUGACCCAUUCUUCUUAGGUACCGUAAACCAUUGACUAGAAUACGGCGCAAAUGAAGGUUUCAAUAUUUUCAUCUUUAUCUUUUCUUUUAAUAGUUCCACCAAUUUAGGUAAAUGUGCGCUCGAUACUGGAAUCGGUCUUAGAUUCCAAGGUACAUGUGGUACAAUGAAGAUAACCAUAGGCGUUACAAUAUUUGGAUCCACACACCCAAUUUCAUGAGAUUCGAAGGCAAACGAUCUACCUUGUUUAGCAAACAUUCUUUUGAAGCAAGUAAUUUCUUCUGGUAAUAAAGAACCAUCAGAACCAAUCUUCAAUUCUUCAAAAGUCUCUCUAGUAAACUGGUGUCCAAUACUCAUUGAAUCUCUUAAAUUUGCUUCAUUUGAUGCUUCUCCCAUUUGUUCUUUAGAAUCCUCUCGUAAUGGUCCGGCAACAGGCUUUACCUUCUUAUCUGCCGUUUUAUAUCUCAUCUCUACAGUGACUUUUGGUGCUUGAAAAGAUUCAAGUAUAGUAUAAAUCUCUCUUGAAUGAAUCUCAACAAUCUUAUCAUUAUCCCCUAACCCAAUAGAUGUAAUCAAUUCCAAUGAAUCUUCCAGUCCAUUUUCUUCAUAAACACCUAAAAUCCUCUCAUCAUCUUGCAAUGUACCUAACUUGCAUAAUUGUCCUUCAAUAUCAUAUAAUCUUUUUCUUUCUUUUCUUUUAAAAUCAUCAACUUUCUUAUACAUAAUAUUUCCAUUCUCCAAUAUACCAAUAAAACUCGCAUCAAAGGUAUCUUCAUCUUGCGAGAGUACCUCCUCUUUUGUACCUCCAUAAUCUUGCUUUACAGUGGUACCUCCCCAAAAUCCUUAAAUCCUUCAACAAUCUUUGGCAAUGGUUUCUCCUUCAACCUAUCUCGAUUCCGUUCAUGGUUAGGAGGUACUGUUAGAAAUUGUACAGCUUUCCUUCCAUGUUCGCUACGUACCCUUGCAUAAGCAGAACCAUCGUCAAGUACCUUUGUUUCCAUCCGUGUUGCCGUGAUAUAAGGUUGUCCUAAAACCAACGGAUAAGACGUUGUAUCUUGAACAAAGAAAUGUUGCUCCGUGGCAACAUCCCCAAUCCAAAUUUUGACAUUUAAACAAGCUCCAUAUAAUUCGCCCCGUGUGUUAUUAGUCGCUCGAAUUGCCCAUCCAUGUUCCAUAUCAAUUGGCCAUUUUUGCUUCUUAUCAAGAUCUUUAGACAUAAGAUUUAUUUCAGAACCAUGGUCGACUAAAGCAACUAUUGGUUCUUCUAUAUCUCCUACUUUCACCAAUACCUCAGUAGUUGCCCUUGCCCAAUGUUUUCGAGUAUAAUGGCUCAAAGUUUCCAUUUUCUUGUCACUAGAAUCUUCAAAACGUACUCGCUGAUUAUACCCAUUCUUUUCAUUUGUUGGUUGCUUGUAACUAAUAUCAACCUCUUCUUCAUCUUUAUAUAUUCUUGCAUCAAUAGCUUGACUCAUUCCAGUUUUGCCCAUUAAUUGCCUCUUUCGCUUAAUGCUAUCAAUGAUGACAUUAUGAAACUCCUUCUUUACAAUUCCCAAGACUUCUUUCAAUGUGAAUUCUACCUUAGCAUUUAAUAUACGUUCUUCCAACAUCCCUUUCAAAUUUGUUGCCGCUUCAAUGUCAGAAAGUAGCUUAUAAGCAAUUGAUUUGCCCUUAUCUUUUGUCUCCUUUGUUUUUUCUCUCAAUGAUGCUGAGGUAUCCUUUACAGGCAAUUCUUGUGAAGCUGCCUCCUGAGCCUUGUCUCCUCGAGUUUGCCUCUUAGAAGAAUUUCCUUUUCUAGUAUCAUCAAAAUUUUCUCGUCUCUUUUCUUCCAUCAAAGCUUCAUGUUGGCUCUUACCAAUAUAUGCAUGAAUUGAAAGAGACUCAACAGGAUCCUCCCAACCUGUUCUUCCUCGUAUUGUAGCUGCAGUUCUCAAUAACGCUUCUCGAGGUAAUUUCCCUUCUUGCAUUGUAGAAAUGGCAGAAGCCCAAAACUCACUAGUUUCCGUACUUCCACCAAUUUCAUCAUCUACUCUAGCACCAUAACUUGCACUUUCUCCUGCUGUUGAUUCAUGCUCUUUUAGGUAAUCUUGAACCAAUGCUCUCAUUCCUCCCUUGCCAAAAUUGGUUUGAAGAAGAUCCUCUCUAUUUUUCAAUGCUAUCUUUCCAUCUUUCCAGCAAAUAAUUCCCUGCCGUAUCAUAUUAUUAAAUUCAUUGCAAUCUUUUCUAGUGUGUGAAGCAUCAUCACACCAAAUGCAUCUUUGUACAUAUCCUUGUUUUGAAACAUUCUUCGAAUUGUUUAUAGAAGUAUUCUCUUCAAGUCUUGCCAAUUUGAUUUGAAGAUCUCGUAUUCCUCGUAUAAUUUCUUCCAUUUCCAUAUCUGCUUUCUUUGAUAAGGAUGUCGAAGGUUGAACUGUAGGCAUUGUUGGUGGUGUUGUACGUACUAGAGCUUUGGGUGCUUGUAAUGUUUUCGGAAUAUUGCUCCUAUCCUUCCUCCUUUCUCUUUUUGUAAGCAACCCCACCACAUCUUCAAUGUCCUUCCACUUUGUUGUCAAUCCUUCAUCUUCUUCUUUGUCUUCAAGAAGAAGUUCUAAUUUUCCUUGUAAUUCUCCAUCAACAGCUUGAAGAAAUAGAUCAACUUUGUUCAGCUCCAAUGUCAAUUUUUCUACCUUCGACAAUUGAGAGUACUGCCUCUCAAAUUCCUUUAGUAACUCUGUUGCUUACAAAUUCUUGUUGGGCCGUUCAAUCCAUUCCAGAAACAGCUUCUUAGUAAUGCGAUCAGCAUCUUCCAAGAAAUAUUCGUCUUUCAAUGCAUGUAAAAAAACCUCCCAUGAAUUCCCAUAAUGAUUUGUAAUCGAUGUAAUGUAGUCUCUUAUCUCCUGUAUCGUCGCAAGUCCAAAUAGUGCAACCAUUUUCUUCUCAGAAACCCGAUUUAAUUCCAUUUCAUGAACAUAAUAUCUUAAAUACCUUGAAAUAUUCGUUCCAUGAAAUUGAUCAAUUUUAUUGACCACUGCUUGCAAUGCUUUGGUUGCCAAAGCUUCCUUUCAAUCAUUACUUUGUUGUUGCUGCAUUGAUAAUGAGAAGGCUUGAAACAUACUAGCAAUAGACGGAUCCAUGUGCAUACCUUGUCCUUUAGAAGACUCCCUACCAGAAACUCCUCCCAAAAAUCCUUCAAAAUUUUUAUUUUCGUUUUCCAUAAAAUAAAGAUAAAAUCAACCGAAAUCCAAUACCUUCCACCUCAAGCUUUCACGUCCAGUUCACCACUUUUGUCAUAUUACGUGCUUUCCUGCUCGAGAACGCGCCGGGCGUCUAGCUGUAGAAGGUAGUAUGGAGAUUUGCCAAUAGUCAAGCAGUCUAUCAGUUUUUGACUGUUAGAAUAUAAACGACUGCAAGAAUACACCGUAAAUCUAUACGGAUGCCCCUUCGACUACUCGCCGAAGUCCUUUUUAUCCCGGCCGGUAGGUCUCUAAACGUUACAGAGAACCCCGAACAACCCAAACUGUUAAUCUUCGGUAUCGGUGUCCUAUUACAUGCUUUCCUGCUCGAGAUCGUGCCGCGCGUCUAGCUAUAGAAGGUAGUAUGGAGAUUCACCAAUAGUCAAGCAGUCUAUCAGUUUUUGACUGCUGGAAUAUAAACGACUGCAAGAAUACACCGUAAAUCUAUACGGAUGCCCUUCGACUGCUUGUUGAAGUCCUUUUUGCCCCAUUCGGUAGGUCUCUAGACGUUACAAAGAACCCCGAACAACCCAAUCUGCUAAUCUCCGAUACCGCUUUGUACUUACGAUCUUGUAUCCACUGACUAUCUUGUUAGAUUAACCCAAUAAAUUUCAUUCAGUCCGCAUACUCAAUCCUAUAGACACUCUUUUAAUUCUUCAAUCACAGACAUAACUCGAUUUCACAAAACAGUCAAGAGUAAUCAAACCCACUUCAUUAAAAAAUCUCGAUUCACCAUUACAACACUGACUUCAGCAAUGAUUGCCUCAGUCUUCCCAAAACUCUAUGAAGAAGAAAAAUCCAAUUCUCCGUCUUUUCUUCCCCGACCCGAAGCAUGAAGCUCCUCUCCAAUCCCCUUGAUCUUCAAAAACCUCUAAUAAAACCGAACUAGUAACCUUGCAAAGAGCUUGAAGCUAGCUCUUCGAUCCAAAAACCCCCCCCAAAAUUUAUUCUCCCCCUAACCUUAUCCUCUGAAUUUCUUCAAUCUUCCGUCUUGGAUCCGAAAUUUACUCCCACCGUCAGAGCUUAGAUCCGAAAUUGGCUCUCGCCCUCAAGGCUUAGAUCCAAAUUUGGUUCUCGCCGUGAGAGCUUUCUCUUCCAUUUUUACCUUUAAGAAAUCUAUUUAUCGAAAACAAUGUUCCCUGAAACGGCACAGAGAAUAGGACAGCUUGAAACAGAAUCGAAACCCCGUACUCGGGUCCACAUUGAGUCGCCCGACCAAUUCAGGUCUCAUAUUGGGUAAGAUGCCCGUAGUAACCUGGAUGUUUGCGUAAUUGGGUCCAAUUGGUCAUCACGUUAGAUUGGCUAAGGCCCGUAGUAAGACCUAGAUUUUCCCGUAAUUAGACUGCAUUGGGUUGCCCGGCCAAUUCAGGUCUCAUAUUGGAUAAGAGGACCCGGAUUGAAUUCUUGAAAUUGGAUCCAAUUGGCUCUUCGAACCAGGCUCACCCGUCGUGUGAAUUGGUCCUUUCUCUUCCUGCUGACUCCCGUUAAUGGAAUCGAACGGAGCAUUUCAGUAUCCCCCGGCUGACUAUAACGGGGUGACUCAACCUGGCCACUCAAUAUUUGCACCGGAGUUGGUUGUUGCUCCCAAUAUUCGAGGUAACUGAACAUUAAUAAAAGUCCCCUUUCUUUAUAUUUUCACGGUAUACUCGUAUUACAACACGACACCAAAGAUUAGCAGUUUGGGUUGUUCGGGGUUCUCUGUAAUGUCUAGAGACCUACCGGCUGGAACAAAAAGGACUUUGGUGAGCAGUCGAAGGGCAUCCGUAUAGAUUUGCGGUGUAUUCUUACAGUUGUUUAUAUUCCAACAGUCAAAAACCGAUAGACUAUUUGAAUAUUAGCAAAUCUCCAUACUACCUUCUACAGCCAGACGCCCGGCGCGUUCUCGAGCAGAAAAGCACGUAAUACGACACCGUGAAGUGUGAUAACGACAUGUUUCAAUGUCGCCAAGACCAACGCUCAAGACAACAUAUGGCUCACCAUAUUCCAACUAUGUCAACAAGCAGCCUAAAUUUACAUACAGAGAUAGAAGAUUUGCAAAUUGACACAGUUUGUGUCAAAUCUCUAACUCUAGAAGAAAAACAGUGAUGUAUGGAGGAAGGACUAUGCUUGUAUUGUACUAAAGAAGGCCAUAGAGCUGGAAACUAUCCCAAGAAGUAAAAUCAAUGCAUUGUCGGGACCAAAUGCUUGUUUGUUCACAAAAACAAAGAUACCCAGCCACAAUAAGGACUGUGCGGGUGGACAAUUCAAUACCACAACAACAAUCAAGUUCCUCUCUUUUCGCUCAGCUUGUCCAUUGCUUUAACAUUCCUUUAUCUUUUGGCCUUUAAAAACUAAAAACCUUAGUGUUAUUAGAUUCAGGAGCAUUUGCUUUCUUUUUAGACAAAGAAUUUAGUAACCAUCAUGAGCUUCUUCUAGUACAAAAAUCUAAACUCGUUCACAUAGAAGUAAUAGAUGGACGACCUUUAUUGUCUGGUAGUAUCACCCAUGAAUCAGAACCUAUAGAGGUGACGUUUAAAGACCAUAGUAGUUAUAUUAUUUUUAAUUUUAUUAGAACCUCGUCAAACCUUGUUAUUCUUGGUCUUUCUUGGUUAAAAAUGCAUAAUCCAUCCAUAGAUUGGAAGUUAUGAAGGAUGACAUUUCCUAUAGAAUAUUUUGAAAGUAAGCCUAUUAAAAGAUUUUGAAUCAAAAAAUCCUUAUUUAUUGGAGCGAGAGUGCUUAUAUUAUCAUCUAAAGAAGGUACACCGUUUUUCAUUUAUGCGACUCCAACUAGAAGAGAGAAGAUUUCAACAACAAAUAUAUUGGAGCAAUAUAAGGAUUUUGAAGAUGUGUUUCAAAAGAAGAAUGCCGACAUGCUACCAGAGCAUCGACCAUACGAUUAAACCAUAGACUUGCAGGAAGGAGCACAACCACUUUUUGGCCCAAUCUACAAUUUGUUGCAGAUGGAGUUAGUGGAGUUACGAAAGUAUAUUGAUGAGAAUCUAUCUAAAAACUUCAUUCAUUAUUCAAAGUCGCCAGAUGGGACACCAAUCUUAUUUGUGAAGAAGAAAGAUGGCUCACUGCGUAUAUGCAUGGAUUAUCGAGGUCUCAACAAGGUAACAAAGAAGAAUCGUUAUCCAUUAUCUUUGAUAUUAGGUCUUCUAGAGUAACUUGGGAGUGCAAGGAUCUUUACAAGGAUUGAUAUAAGAGGAGCUUACAACCUUGUAUGAAUUAAGGAAGGAGAUGAAUAGAAGACAACUUUUCGUACAAGGUAUGGCCAUUUUGAAUAUAAUGUCAUGUCUUUCGGUCUUAUCAAUGCUCCAGUGAUCUUUCAACAUAUGAUGAAUGACAUCUUUCGAGAGCACCUUGAUGAUUUUUUUGUCAUCUAUCUAGAUGAUAUUUUGAUAUUUUUCAAGAAUGUAGAAGAGCAUGAAAAACAUGUUUGUCUGGUCUUUGAAAAACUCCGCGAGCAAGGACUUUACGCCAAGUUAGAGAAGUGCUUGUUUAACCAAAUUGAGAUGGAAUUUUAGGAAUUCAUUACAACUAUGGAAGGCUUGAAGAUGGAUCGUAAGAAGGUGGAAGCAAUCGUAUCAUGGAAAGUUCCAAAGACAAUUAGAGAUGUACAAUGCUUUCUUGGCUUUGCUAACUUAUAUCGGAUCUUCAUCAAGAAUUAUUCUCAAGUUGCUGCUUUGCUCACUCGAUUGACAUGUAAAGACAAGCUCGAAUGGAGACCUCUAGUAAAAAAAGCAUUUCAAGAUCUUAAGACGGUAUUUACUAUGGCUCCAGUCUUGAUACAUCCAGACUUUACAAAGGCCUUCUAUUUGGAGAUCGAUGCUUUAGAUUUUGCUAUGGAAGUUGUACUUUUGCAGAUAGACACAAACGAGAAGCUUCAUCCAGUUGCGUUCUACUAUCAGAAGUUUUCUGCUAUUGAGAUCAACUAUGAAAUCCAUGACAAAGAACUUCUUACGAUAGUAGAUUCUUUUCAAAAGUGGCAUCACUUUUUCAAAAGAGUUGCGCAUCUGGUGACCUUAUAUACGGAUCACAAGAAUUUGGAGUACUUCAUAUUGACUCAGGUUCUGAAUCAACGUCAAGCUCGAUGGAAUAUGUUGCUAUCCAGAUUUGACUUUGUUAUUACUUAUUGGCUUAGAAAGCAACAAGGACUAUCCGAUGCAUUAUUAAAAAGAUCCUAUCUAGCACCAAAGGCUGGAGAAGUAGUUUUUGAUCAAUAGUGUACAACAUUAUUGAAAUUGGAACAAUUUAGGCUUUGCUCUACUAUAGUGCCAAUUGAUGCUGACUUCCUCAACUAUAUACGUACUGCGACUAUUGAAGAUUCUGUAGCCCUCGAUAUCACGCUGUCGUAAUGUAAAAGCUUAUAGUAUGUAAAAAUUAAUUAGAACAUAUAAUAUGUUCAUAAGUCUUUGUGUAUGUUAGAAUGGUUAAAUAGAUUAAUUUAAAGAGAGUGGAUUUAAGAAAUUUUAUUUUGAGUUUAGCUUUUUACUUAUAGCAUUUCAAAAAAAAAUUUAUAGAAUCUGAAUGUUUAGUAUGGAGCCUUGAGAGGAGAUUAGAGCUUAAAGAAGAAAUUCUUAACUAGUAGGAGGCUUAUUGGAAGGAAUGAAACGAAGGCAUGGUUGGAUGAAGGCAAGGAAUGGAAAACUUCAUUCCUAUUGACCGAAGGCCAUGCCCAAUGGAUUUCAAGGAGGCUACCCGAGGCCUUAUUAGGGAUUAGGGUUUUUCUUUCGACAUCAUUCGAGAUUUUGAGGCUAGGAUCAGCAAGUUCAAGGUUUUGGAUAUAAUUUGGGUGAAGAAUUUGUGUGAUUUCGAGUUUUUAUGAAGGAGAUAUAGGUGUUCAAAUUUAAGGUGACAAAUUUGUACCUACUGUCACUCUUUGAAGUAUAACAUAUGCGUACGGAGAGCAAUGAAAUUUCGGCGAUUAAAUUUGGAGAGAGCACUUUCUUGGCUAUACUUUAUAUAUAUUUUUUGACAAAUUCCAAGUCUGGAUAAAGGAGUUAUAGGGCAUUGAAGACAGCACAUGUAAUUCAAAGGCAGUAAGUGAGUCAUUUUAUUGAUAGUAAUGUUUGGAGCCAUAUCUUGAGUUCUUGGAUGAAUUUUUGGCUCAAAAUUUCCAUAAGUGUGAAUUAUUAAGUCAAGAAGCUAUAGAUCAAAGUUUCAUGGUAUUUAAGUACUUAUUUUGUGAGAUAUGAAGAAAUUAGCAUGCAUGUGUAAGUAAGCUGGGGUUUAUACCUAUUAUAAGGGUUUUGACAAUAUCUCAAGAUCUGUAACGAAUUUGUAGUUGAAUUUUUUUGUGAAAGUUUUUGAAAGUAUAUCAAUACUUCAUGUAAAAUUUAAGGUUUUUUGGAUAGUCCAAUCAUGAGAUAUAAGCUGUUGAAGUUCGAAAAACAUCUCUCACAAGGAUAUAUAAGGUUUUAAGUUCUUUAUCAUACAUUUGGGUGUUUUCUUGGUACUUGGGCUUGUGUUUUGAUGUAAUUGCCCCAAAAGAGAAAAUGUUACAUGUAUAAACUUGGUUUUUUAUAUCUUAGACUUAAUUGAGUAUUUAGUGGCAGCUAGAAGUUCAACGCUUUCUUGAAGCAAACUCUCUCUACUCCCACAAUGCAACAAAUCAAUAAUGACAAGUUCAAGGUGGAAGGAGAUCUUUUAUACUUUGAGGAGCAGUUGUAUAUUCCAAAGGGACCAGCACGACUCCAAGUUCUUCAAUCUCGACACAACUUUCUAACUGAUGGAUAUUUUGGAUUCAAUAAGACCUUGGAAUUUAUUUCUCGAGAUUUUUGGUGGUCCCAAAUGUGGAAAGAUGUCAAGGAUUUUGUCUUCUCCUGUGAUGUUUGUUCAAGAUUCAAGAAUGCUCGGCAUCAUCCUUAUGGUCUUCUUCAGCCAUUGCCUAUUCCAUGUUGGUCAUGGUCUUCAGUUUCCAUGGACUUCAUUAUGGACCUACCGCCAUCAAAUUCAUUUGACAAUAUCUUUGUUGCUGUAGAUUAGCUUACAAAGAUGGCACACUUUGUCCCUUACAAGAAAACAUCAUCAAGCAAAGACACAGUAAGGCUCUUCUUUGAUAGUAUGUAUAGAUAUCAUGGUUUACCACAUGAAAUCAUGUCGGAUCGAGGAACCCAAUUCAUAUCAAAGUUUUGGAGAUCUCUCUUUGAGAUAUUGAAGGUAGAUAUCAACCUUUCUUCGGCUUUCCAUCUUCAAACUGACGGCCAAAUGGAACGGGUGAAUCAAAUUUUGGAAUAGUAUUUAUGAUGCAGCAUCAAUUAUCAAUAAGAUGAUUGGACUACAUAUCUAUUGUUAGUCGAGUUUGUAUAUAACAACACCUUUCAUGCAUCCACUCAACAAACACCAUUCUUUUUCAACUAUGGGUAUCAUCCAAAGCUUGAUUUGUUGAGUCCGUCAACCAAUAACAACUUGACAGCUAAAAGAUUUGUGAAACAAUUAUCGAAGCUUCAAACUACAUUGAAGCUUCAAUUGCAAACCCUCGAAGAAGCUUAAAAGGCAUCUAUAGAUAAAUUUUGAAAUCAGACACCUACUUUCAAAAUUGAAGAUAAAAUAUGGUUGCUUUGAUGAAAUAUCAAAACCAAGUGACUAUGUGAUAAGUUGGACUACUAGAGAUUGGGAUCAUUUGUCAUCCAGAAGCAAAUUAAUCUAGUGGCGUACCAUCUAGGAUUACCGGCUGCUAUGAAGGUACAUUCAGUCUUUCAUGUUUCUUUAUUGGCAUCUUAUUGAGAGUCGUCUUAUUCUAAAAGAGUGCAAUGUCUGCCACCUAGUAUUGAAAUUGAAAAUCACAAGGAAUACAAGGUGGAAAAGGUACUAGAUUUGUGGCACAAGUGGAAAAAAUUGGAAUAUCUAGUGCAUUAGAGCGGCUAUGAUAUCAAUGAGCACACAUAGAAACCAGUGAAAAAUCUUAUCAAUGCAUUACAAAAGGUAUAGGAGUUUCAUUGAUACUAUCCUCAGAAACCUAAGUCCUUUCAAUGAAAGUUUUUCAGUGAAGUUCCAUCUCCUUGAAGCCUCUUAAUCCUCGACCUUAUCAAGAAGGGGGAGAAGGAACCUCUAAAAGACAUAGUUAGAGACUAUAAAUCUGUAACUUGAGCCCAUUCUUCCAUGUUUAGUGCUUAUUUUUUUAGUCUAAUAUAGAUAGCCAAGAGAUAGAUACCAUAUUAAUCAUGUCCUCUCAAUUGAGUAUGUCACAAAGACGACCCCGAGAUGAAGAACUGCUUGUACUACGAAGAUGAUAGAGGGUACUUAGUAAUAGGUCACUAGUGAUUGUAUUUGAGGUAGAACCUACCUAUGGUGAUCUUCUCAAAGGAGUGUUUGUAGGGCAUUUUCACAAUGAAGAUACGAAAGUUCAUGCCUGGUCAAAAAUCGAAGGCAUAGGACACUAUUGUUGGUUACAAGGACCAAUGAACUAUUUUUUGUGCUAACAAAAAUUGGAGAAUAUUACAAACACUAUGCGACAAAUUUUUAACUUCUUACAUUGGUACUGACUCGCAAUAGGAGUGCUUCUCGGAGACCUCAAAGCUAAAGGGAAGAGGUGAUGUCAAGGACAUACACUAGGAAGUUGUAGAAGUUUCUAGAGAAGCUUUGUAGUUUGUAGAAGCUACUUGAGAAGUUUUUAGGCUCGUGGAAGUUGCUUGAGAAGCUUCUUAGCUUGUCGAAGUUGCUUGAGAAGCUUUCUAAGUCAUAGAAACUGCUUGAGAAGCUUCCAAGUUUGUGCAAGCUACUUGAGAAGCUUCCUAGCUUGUAGUAUAUAUAGGAGCUAAGACUGAGGAGAUUCUUAGUCUCAAAAAUACACCUCUUGGAGCUCUAGCUCACCUCUCUAGUAUUAUUCUUGUACUCAUCUGAUUAAUCUAGUUCUUGUCGAUUCUUCUUGAGUUUCUUGUUUAGAUUUUCAGUUAGUAUUCUAAAUUCGUGAUAGUCAAUAUAUAAAUUUGAAAUCAAAUCUUCAUAAUGACAUACUCCAAUGGACUUAGCAAUGAUUCAAAAUACGUAACAAUAUGAAAUAUUUGAGGUUCUUGUGAUUUAUAUAUACUAUGAUUGGAUUUGAAGCGCCUUCUAGAUAAUGACACCAUUCUUAAAAUAAAUCCAUAAUUGCAAGAAUUUCUUUAUUAUGGAUCUUAUAGUUAAUCUUGCCUACUGAAAAAUUCUUGGAAUAAAAAGCUAUUGAAUGGAAUUUGUCAUUUGUUUCCAUUUGUGAUAAUACUAUAUCCAAAGUAAAAUUUGAUGCAUCUGUUUCCAUAAAGAAUGCCUUAGAAUGUCAAUGCGAUACAAAAUUGGUGCAGAAGUAAAUUUCUUCUUCAAAGCAACAAACAAUGCUUCAACUUUUUUAUUCUACUUAAGUUUGUCUUUACAAGUCAAAUGUGUAAGUGGAGUUGUAACUUGAGAAAAGUUCUUGAUAAGAUUUGAUAAUAAUUGGCAAAGCUCAAAAAGCAUUGCACAUCUCUUAUUGUUCUUGGAAACUUCCAAUCUAUGAUAGUUUGGACCUUCUUUACAUCUAUCAUAAGGCCUUCAUUGGAAAUGAUGUAUUCCAAAAAAUCAACUUGAGUAGUAUGGAAUACACACUUUUCCAUCUUUGCAUAUAAUCUUGUAUCUCUUAGUUUUUGUAACACACGACAAAUAUGAACUUCAUGCUCUUUUGUGUUCUAAGAAUAGAUUAAAAUAUCAUUCAAAUAAUAGAUGAUAAAAUCUUUAAGAAACUCAUGAAAGACAUCAUUCAUUAGAUGUUAAAAAAUAGCUGAUGCAUUUGUGAGUCCAAAAAGCAUGAUAUUAUAAUCAAAAUGUUCCUACUUAGUUUGGAAAGCAGUCUUCUAUUCAUCUCCUUCUUUGAUGUGGAUCAAGUUAUAUGCUCCUCGUAGAUCUAUUUUUGUAUAGAUAUUUGCUUGAUUUAAUUGAUAAAAAAGUCCUAAAAUUAUUAUAUUUUUUGUGUAUAAUUUGGCAAUUAAGACUAUCUAGAUAAAUAAUUUUAUUGGAAAUACAAUAAUUACUCUUGAAACACAAGAUUCUAAUCAUUUUUAUAAUUAAUAAUUAUAGUGAUAAUAAUAGUUAUUAUUUUUAACACAAUUAUUAUAAAAUGAUUUUUUCUUAUUUUUAUUGUCAUUCAAUAAAUUUCAUUCUUUUCUAUAAUUUAGAAAUAAUUGAUUUCUUUUAAAAGAAUCCAAAAUGAACUUGGUUUUUUCUUUAUUAAUAAUAAUUGAUUUUUCCAAACAAACAAGGAAUUACUUUGACUUCCUCUAAAUUGUCAUCUUUUAUGUUGUUCUAAUCUUGUCAUACAGAUGAUAUCCAUGGAAAAUUUGAUCUAAAAUCAUGGAAGUGGCUCCACUUCUUCAAGUCAAAAUAUAAUCAAAACAUAAUAUAAUAUAUUCUUGAAAAUAAUUUAAGGCUAGCACAAAUGUUGUUAUGAAAAUAAAUCUAAACAGAUACUUUUACGAGUAAAACAAACACCAUAAGAAAUAAGAAAAUAUAUCCAACUAAAGUAGUAUUCAAACAAAACAAGAACAAACAAACAAACAAACAAACAAAAUGUAUACAAUACAAGAGAAACCAAGAUCAUAAGAUAACUCUCAGCAAAUUCAAAAGAAAAAGACUGCUCUGUAACAAAUAUUAAGGUGAAUUACAAUCAGAUCGAACAAAAAUAUUAAAAAGAAAAUCAUGUUAACAAUUUACUCGGUUUGGGUUACAUGAAGAUUGGAAGAACAUCUUCAAAUCCCAGCAUGCACCGGCAAAAAUUCUAAACUCUUCUACCAACCAGUAAAAAAAUAAAAAUAAAAAACAACCUCAGUUUGAUUUGGCGAUACACUAUUCAUUUCAACUAAUACUUUCACUUUAAUUCCGUUGCUUUACAACCACAUUCUUUCGCAUUCCAGGGCCAAAAUAUCCCCCCCCCCAAUCCAGUCACAGCUCCACAUCACCUCAAGGACCAGAACAACUCUGAGAAAACAAAGCACCUUCACAUUCUACGCGAAAGGGAGCAAACAUAAAACAGGCACGUGCGUGCAAUUGGAAUGGGGCCGAGACUACGCCCCUUGCACAAGAAGCAUGAAUAAGAAUACCAACUGUGCAUCCAGAAAAUCCCAGAACCCAUUAGAAACGAAACACAGACAGAGAUGAGGAGACCGGAAGCUGAAAUGAAAAAGACGGCGGGCCCAGCUUGGAUGUGACCACUCACCAACCAAAGCAUAUGCCGCACAUUCAAGGCAGGGCAGCUCGGGGGCUGGGAGGGAGGCAGCUUGUGAAAGGAGACCCGGUCCAAGGAAUGCGUGACGCAGUAAUACCGCCACGGAUCGAGGAUACCGCCAACUCUGUGAUUGGGCGCCCCCACCUCACCCCCGGCUUCCCCGGCUCCUUCCUGGUCCUGAACCCGACCCGACCCGGCCCGCUGCGCCCCCACCCUGCCCCCACGGAUGGCUAUGCCAUGCCCUCUCUAGAACUGGGGUGCCACUAAGUUACUGGUGCUGGUGGAAGUGCCAUCAUCCAUCGUCAUGGCCAUCAUCCAUCGUUAUGGCCAUCAUCCAUCGUCCUUCCUACCUUCCUAUGUACCGUGCCCCCCUAGCCUUGAAGGGCAAGCUAACAACCUCAGCGAUUCAUCCCCCCCCCCCCCUUUGGUCAAUGGAGCGCCCUUGACCGCAAACAAGCAAAAUCCAGACAGACAGGCUCCCGUCCGGACUCUCUCUCUCCUCUAUAAGAACCCCGUGGCGGUAGAGCGCUGCAGUCAUCCGAUUGAUUCUCCUGCUCCUCCACCUCCUUCACCCAACAAGUGUUGUGUUGCUCGCGGAGUGACUAGCUUACCGUUCUUUCAUUCUCUCUUGCGCGGAUCGUUUGGUUGCAUUCAUUCGUCGAUCGCAGGCUCAGAGUCCGAAUUCCAACAAUGGCAGCGGGUCACGGUGUUUCUGUGCAGAGGAUGGGCAGGUCGCGGAGGGCUGCCCCCAGACGAGGCCAGGUGAAGGCUGCCAUAGCCCUCUCCCUGCUGCAUUCCCUUUCGUCCGCUGUCCUGAGGACUCGCUCCGCGGUGUCCCGCUCCCGCCGGCCGUUCUCGUGGCACAGCAGCUGAGGCGCGGGCGAGGCGACCCGUGCGUGGUCGCGCUGAGCGAUGGUAAUUGGAAUUUGAAUGGAACGGCCACACCACAGGUAUGGCGAUCGCGGGGCGCUUCUCCGGCAGAGCGCACCCGAAAUGGGGACCCCGCCGCCUGUCGCGGCGCCAGCUCCAGCGCGUCGUGUUUCACGUCAUGUUUACACGUCGAGGUUUGCUCGGAACAGGAUGCGCGACGAGUCCGAGCGUCCGUCGGACGGGGUUCGAUACAUUUUUCGUAGGCAUUCGAUGCAGGGAAGAGGGGAUUGGGGAUUGGUUGAUUGAGAACCAAGGAAGCGUGGUGCGCGACCCCAUGAGCAGGAGUACGUCCCGAUGAUGGGGGUGGGAGGGCCCCGGGAGGGGCUUCACUGUCGACUCGACGGUCGCCUUGUGUGCGUCACGCUUGCCGUGCUAGGUGUUUAGACAUCAUUGCUUGGCAUCAUCGUGCCAAGUUCGUGAGCAUGAUCGACCCGCAGUCGAUCAUUGAGUGUGCCAUACGCUGUACAUUGCUGUACGUAUUUUUGUGAAAUGAAAACACGGUCCGGGAUUUGAAUGCAAGAGACUUGGGUAUGGAUGAGGCAUAUUCCUGGUGUAUUGGAGUUUGAUGGUGGUUGCAGUAUUGGAGUCCGAUGUGCUGUGUCUUGCAUGAUCCGGGUCCCAUAUGGACAAGCACACUGCAUGUGGAUGGCAAGUCCGGUGUAAGGAGUCGCAUUGGAGUGAGGAAAAUUAUAGACGUUUUUUUAGAGAGGUGGUAUUUCACCUAGAUCUUGACGAGUUUGUACAUGUUGUCAAUUUUAAUGUAUGUCUUGUUAAGUUCUGGUUACAUAUUAUUAGGCGGGUUGAUUUUGUUUGAGAUUUACCGUGUUUUGUGACAUUUGUACUGUUCAGUACUUUUGUAUAUGAGAUUAAAUGCUGUUCAGUGGGAGUGAUAGAGGAUUUAGUUAUUGUUUUUGGAAAUUUAAUUUGUAUCUCUAAGGAACGUCGUUUGGUGAUUUUGCUUAGACUCCAAUUCUGCCUCGAUGAAAACUUCAAAAAAGGAAAGGAAAAAAUUAUCUGUUUUUAUUUGUGGUUGAAGUCGAGAUUCUUGCAUCAGGAAAUGCUUCUGACAUCUCUUUGGAAUCCACUUGUCGUGUUUUCCUAGUUUCGCCGUGCACCGCAGUCCCUCGAUUGCAAGCGAUUCUUAAUUUGGAGCGCCAUUCUGGCACAAUUCCAGUCCAGCAGAGCUCUGCCGGGAAGCCGAACACCCCUUCCAACCAUAUCUUAAGAUCAAAUACCCCUUGCGCACCAUCUGCCUCACUCCUUCAUUUUAGAAUGUAACCUUCGACCCCAAGUUUCACUCGAACCACACCCCGUGGUUAUUUACGUAAUGCAAACAGUGUGCUCUGUAUCUUUUGCUUCACAAAUCAACUAAUUACUUCACACCAAUACAAAUUGAUAUUUCGGCUACAUGUGUUGGAAAUUUGACACAAUGUUCAUAAGAAUAAUAUAUUUUGUUACAAUGAUACAAUCUUAUCAUGACCGAUAGUAGUCAUAUACUGUAAAUUUUUGCAAAAUAAUGCUAAAAUUUAGGUCACUGUGUGUUUAAUUGUGAAUUGAAAACGUGGCAAUAUUUUGAAACAGGCUGAGAAAAGAUUUCACACUCUUCUCUCUUUAUGUCAAAGUUUGAAUCUUUAGCACAUCUGCUCCCCGUCCACAAAGUGUAUCUUUGAUGUUUUGUGAAAUCCAUUGAUUAGCACAGUCAACACCAAAUUCGAAUUAUUAUUCUGAUAUUCUCUCCUCUCCAAGUGAGAAUGUUUAUUCUAUUGAGUGGGUUUAAUCUGUUGUAGAAUUAAAUGUCCCAAAGCAUAACUUUAACACUUAACAUAUACACAUUGAUUUAUGUAGAUUAUUUAAUUUUUGGAUGAAACAGUGUGAAUUUUGUUUUCUAAGCAAAAAGUAGACAAAUUUUUGGAAUGCUUAUCAAUUACGUACAUGUGUAAUAUAUAAAAUAUAAAAUAUACUACAGUCUUUUUGCAUUUAACACUUUCAAAUAUCAAUAAUUCCAUUUUUGUAUUUUAGUGAUUUUGGGAUGUUUUUAUUUAUUUACUUAUUUAUUUAUUUUAUUCGUGAUUUUGGCAGCACCAGACAAACAUAAUUCUGUUAUGUUUUAGAUGUAUUUCUUUUUUCUUUUUUAUUUCAUUUUAUUUUACAACGUGAUAUUUAAUAUAUAUAUAUAUAUAUAUAUAUAAUUAAUAUCUUUUUAUAUAAAUAUACAUAUAUAUAUAUAAUAUGUAUUAUAUAUUUUUAAUUAAUAAAUUAUAAGUUGUAUUUAGAAUUUAUAUUAAUGUCUUUAAUUUGAAUGUUUUAUAUUAAAAAAACUAUUUAAGAGAAUGUUAAGUAGACUUAAGUUUUUACUAUAUUGACCCACCUAUCUUAACCAUCAUGAAAAAAAUAAUGACCUCUAGGUUUAUUUCUCCACUAUUGGAUCUACAAGCAAUAAAAAUCAACCACAUUCAUCAUGAUUACUAUAUUCUUUGUUAGAAGUGGAUCUAUUUACUAAAAGCAUAGAUUUGAUUAAUAUUCUCCUUUAUUUAUUAUAGUUUAUAAUAACCAAAAUUUUUAUUUUUGAAGGUUAUGUAUAUUUUUUCAUAUAAUAUUUUAUAAUUUAUAUAUAAGUUCUUUUAUUAUUAAAUUUUUUUCUAUAAUAUUUUAUUUAAGUAAAAACUCAAAUCAAGUAUUGUUAAAGAAGUAAGAUUUGCUAUUUCAUUUGACAAGCUUGUUAAGCUGAGCUAUCACUCAAAUAAAGUCUUAUCAAAGAAGAAAGAUUUGCCAAUUCAUUUGGCAAGCUCAUUAAGCUUGAGCAUUCACUCAAAUUAAGUCUUCUUAAAGAAGAAAGAUUUAUCAAUUCAUUUGGCAAGGUUAUCAAAAUUGAGCAACCACUCAAAUUAAGUGUAAUCAAAGAAGAAAAAUUUGAUAAUUCAUUUACCAAGCUUGUCAUGCUUGACCAACCACUCAAAUAAAUUGUUGUCAAAGAAGAAAGAUUUGCCAAUUCAUUUGGCAAGCUGGUCAAGCUUGAGGAACCACUCAAAUAAAGUGUUAUCAAAGAAGAAAGAUUUAUCAAUUCAUUUGGCAAGCUUAUCAAAUUUAAAGAACCACUAAAAUCAAGACUUUUCAAAGAAGAAAGAUUUGUCAAUUCAUUUGGCAAGCUUAUCAAAUUUGAGCAAUUACUCUAAUAAAGUGUUGUCAAAGAAGAAAGAUUUGCCAAUUUAUUUGGCAAGCUUAUCAAGCAAUACUAUCUACUCAAAUAAAGUAUUGUCAAAGAAGAAAGAUUUACUAAUUCAUUUGGCAAGCUUAUCAAGCUUAAAGAACCACUCAAAUCAAGACUUCUCAAAGAAAAAAGAUUUGUCAAUUCAUUUGGCAAGCUUAUCAAAUUUGAGCAACUACUCUAAUAAAGUGUUGUCAAAGAAGAAAGAUUUGCCAAUUUAUUUGGCAAGCUUGUGAAGCAAUACCAUCUACUUAAAUAAAGUGUUGUCAAAGAAGAAAGAUUUGCCAAUUCCUUUGACAAUCUUUGUUAGACACUAUAGACAAGAUAAGGAUUUAAGACAAAGAAAUAGAGUUUGCUUGACAUUAGAACAAUAACUGAAUACAAGGCAAGAAGGUCCUAAUUAGACUACAAAAAGUGACUUGUCGAGAUUGAGAAUCUCCUCAGCCUCAAUUCUUAUAUGUACCAGGUCCUAAGAAGCUUCUUAAAAAAUUUCUAUGAGGCUUGGAAAUAAAGCAAGCCUAAGAUCUUUCUUCGGCAACUUCCUAAAUCAUCUAAAGUCUCCUAAACUAUUUUAGGAACUUCUAUGACAUUUUAAAACUUUCUUAGGAUCUACUAAAACCUUUUAGAAUCUUUUUAGAACCUAUUGGAAUCUUUUAGAAUCUUUUAAAACCUUCUUGGAUCUACAAGAUCAUUCUUAGAAUCUUUUAGAACCUCUUAGAAUCUUCUCAAACUUUCUUCAGUUGUAUGUCCAUGACAUCACCUUGUCCUCUAGCUUUGAGGUCUCUAAGAAGCAAUGUUGCUGCAAGUCAGUAUAUGUGCAAGAAGUUAAAGAUCUAUUGUAUGGUGUCUAUUAUAUAUUCUAGUUAUUUUUUGCAAGAAAAAUGGUUCAUAAGCCCCUAUAGUCAUCGAUAGUACCUCAAGUCUUCUACUUGUAAUCACUCAUGAACUUUGAUAUCUUUGUUAUAGAAUUGUCUUAUAAAUACUUCUUUUGGAUAUCUUUCAUAGGCAGGUUCUACCUCAAAUAUAAUUACCAAUGACCUAUUAUUAGAUAUUCUUUGAUAUCUUUAUGGUUCAAGUGGCUCUUCAUUUUGAGGUCGUCUUUAGAAGCUAUUUAGUUGAGAUGGUAUGACCUGCAAGGUGUCUAUCUCUUAAUUAUCUAUAUCACAUAGAAUACAUAAGAUCAAAAGAAUAUAAAUAAGCUAUGGUCGUGAACUUAAACUACUAACUUAUACUAUUCUAACAUUUGAAAAAACUACCUCUUCAAAGGCUACCUCUUCUCCUUCUUUAUGAAGCCAAGAACUAAGAGGAGUCUUCAUGGUGAAGUCAUCUUAUCAAGCUAGUAUUCUUUAUUUUUCUAUUUUUGGUCUAAAUAGAUGUCAUUGAUAGAAAUUUUGAAUCUUCAUUUGUAUAUUUAUAAGAUUACCAGCUAAUUCAUAUAUGUAAUCAUUAAUAUCAUAUUUAUGCCAAUGGACCAUAUAUUCAAGCCUUCCUUGUCUUAUCCUUGAAUCUAAUACCUCCUCUAAGUCAAAUUCAAUAUAAUCAUUGAUUUCAACCAUAGGAGGUGGUGGUUAUCUUUGACUUACUAUGUUUGAUUCUAUAUACCUUUCUAAAAGUGAAAUAUUAAAGACUAAAUGAAUCUUCAUAGAUGAAGGUAAUUCCAAGAAAUAAAUUACGUUAUUAAUUUGUUUUUGAAUCACAAAUGGUUUCAACCUUCGGUAGUCAAACUUAUCACAUGGCCUAUUGGUUUUUAUAUUAUGCCAAAGAAGCCUUAUUUUGUCACCAAUUUAGAAUGAAGGAUGUUCCUUCUUUAAUUCAUCUGCUAGUAGCUUAUAACGUUAUUGAGUCCUUUCUAGAUGAGUCUUUAUGGUUGCAUAAAGUUUGACCAUCUUUGUAGCAAACUCCUCUGCUACUGGAUUUAUUAACUUUAAAGGCUCUAUCAUAUCCAACUUUGGAUGAUGACCAGAGUUUGAGUAGAAUGGCGUUUGUUAUGUAGAUGCAUGAAUUGUGUUGUUAUAUGCAAACUCCGCCAAUGACAAGUAGAAAGUCUAGUCAUCUUAUUAAUAGGUGAUAGUGCAUGUCAAAUAUUGCUAAAAAAUUUGGUUGAUCCACUUCUUUGGCCAUUAGUUUGAGGGUGGAGGGCAGAAGAAAGGUUGAUGUCAAUCUUAAGAAUCUUGAAGAGUGCCUUCCAAAACCUUGAUACAAAUUGUGGUUUACAAUCUAAUACAAUGUCAUUUGGCAACCUGUGGUAAUGAUAGAUAUUAUCAAUGAAGAGUCUUGCUAAUUCUUCACCAGUAAUUGACUUCUUGUAAGAUGUAAAAUUUGCCAUUUUGAUCAAUUGAUCAACAACUACAAAAAAUAGUAUCAAAUGAGCUUGAUGGAAGAAGAUCUGUAAUGAAAUCUAUGGAGAUAGAUGACUAUGAUUGUUUUGAAAUAGGAAGGGAUUGAAGAAGUCCAUAUAGUCGAUGUCGAGGAUUCUUUGACCUUAAACAAGUAUUACAUGAUAGUAAAAAUUCUUUAAUAUCUUUCUAUAUUUUAGGCUACUGAAAAUCUCCAGAUAAAAGUUCCAAGGUCUUAUUGAAUCCAAAAUAUCCGGUUGUAAAGAGGUCAUGGCGUAUUUGAAGAACGUGCAGGCAAGUUGGCCCUUAAUGAAUGAACAAACAUUCUUCAAAGCACAAGAGGUUGCCUUCAUAUUUAAAUUUAGAAGACUCUUCAGGAAGUUUUUUAGCAAGUCGCUUGAUAUUAAGAGUAAGAUGGUCCAUGUUUGAAGCUUUAUAAACUUGAUCAAGAAAUGAUAAAUCCACAGGCAUUGAUAUAUUGAUUGCUCGAAGAUACAAUUGCUCAUGCUUUAAUAUGGUUAUCUAUUAUUGAUCAUAUGUUGCCUUGUUAUCUUUUAAUUCAAGUUAAGAACGUCUUGAUAAUACAUCUGAUAAUUCUUGUUGGCUCUUGAGUUGAUACGUUAUUGUAUUAUGUGAAGUCUUGCUUGAGAAUGCGUUGAGCUUUAAAUUGUGGAAGAUAAAAAUAAUUUGCAACAAUAAGUCCUAAUUAUUUUAAUAAAUUCUUAAAUAAAUUGUAAUUAACGAUUAGUAAAUAUAAUCACAUAAAUCAAAUUUAAUUAAAUUUUAAAGAAAUUAUAUAAGAAAUACAAAGAAUUCCUAAAGAUCUUUAAAGAAAUUAUAAAAAAAUAACAUAUAAAUUUAAAAAAUAUAUAUUAAAAUAGAAAUCUUAAUAAAAUAUUAAAAUAAAAAUCUUAAUUAAAUCCUAGUCAAAAUCUAACCAAAUCUUGGUCAAAUCUUAAUCAAAUCUUAGUCAAGUCUUGAUCAAACCUUGAUCAAAUCCUAGUCAAAUCCUAAAUAAAUCCUAAUCAGCUCAUAAAUAAGCUCUAACCAAAUCCUAAACAAAUCAUAGUCAAAUCUUAGUCAAAUCCUAAUUGAACCUUGAUCAAAUCCCAAAUAAAUCCUAACCAAAUCUUAGACAAAUUUUACUCAAAUCCUAAUCAAAUCCUAGUCAAAUCCUAAUCAAAUUCUAAGUAAAUUCUAAAUAAAUCUUAGUCAAAUCAUAGACAAAUCCUAAAUAAGCCCUAAUCAAACUCUAGACAAAUCUUAGCCAAGCUUAAAUCAAACCAAAAUCCUAAUCCUAACUCUAAAUCAAAUCCUAAUCAAUUCCAAGUAAUUCCUGUAGUAGAUUUAAAUCUAAAUAACUAAUAAAUGAACCAUUGAUUUUAAAUCAAAAUUUAAACAUCUCUUAAAAAUUAAAUUAAAAAUAAGCAAAAAAAUUUGAAGAAGAUGGAACUCACCAAAAAGAAGAUCAAUCCUAAAUUUGCUCAAGUAUUGGCCAUCCUUCUACUCAAAUCUAAAUGAUGAAAUUCCAAUGCCAAAAUCUCCCUUUCAAACUAUUUGAUUGUUUUAAACUUCACAUAUUUUGUAGCAAAUCAAGUCUAAUACCUUCACAAAUAAAAUUUUCUGUAAUUCAAUUAGUAGAUUGCUAAAGAUCUUAGAAACUCUACCUACCUCUUAAAGUUCAAUUUUUGAGACCUCAACCUAUUUGAAAUUCAAUAUUUUUUAAUUCAACUAUUCAAUCAAGCUCAAACUUAUAAUUUAUGUUAAACACAUAUGUAUCUACAAAUUUCCAAAAUUUCACUUAUAGAUCUAUUGCCAAACUUGUAAAAAAUUUCAAAAAAUAUCACCUAUUUUAUUUUAUAUAUCCAAAGUCACCUAAAACAAACCUUAACUUUACAAAGCUCUUACAAAGUCAAUACACACUCAAAUCAUUUAAAAUUAAUUGUAAAAAAAAACUUAUUAAGUUUGCUCCCAAAUUCCAUUCUCUGAUCUCUAAAGAAUUCCAAAAUUAUUAUUAAGACUUGAUUUUGUAGCUUGGGAUUUGAUUUCGAUCUUGGUUGGUAAUUAGUCUUCUCUUUACAUCAAUUAUUAUUCCUUUUGAAAUAAACUUUAUUAAAACCAACUUCCAAUUCUUUCCUACAUAUGUCUAUAUCUUUUAUUUUUUUAAUCUAUCUUAUUUUGCCUUAUUUAUGGUCCUACAAAAUAGGUAGAAGCCACUUUUUUAAAAAAACAUCAUUACUAUUAAAAGUUUUACUAUCUUCUUAUCUUUUAUUCAUAUUUUUUUAUUUUAUCUUUUAACUUGGUUCUUCUAAAAUAAGAUCUAUAUUAUUAUCUUUUACCAUAUGGUCAGAUUAUAAUAUAAAAAUAUAAUGCAAAAGUCAAAUUGUGAUAAAGAUAUACUCCAAUGUACUUGGCAAUGGUUCAAGACUUACUUGACAUAAAAUAUUCAAGAUUCUUGUGCUCUAUAUAUACAAUCACAUGAUAAGAGACACUUUCAAGAAAUUGGUACCAUUCUUAGAAAGAAUCUACAAUAGCAAGUAACUCUUUAUUAUAGAUUUUGUAGUUAAUUUUUUAUUGUUGAGAAUUUUCUAAAUUAAAAUGCAAUUAUAUGAAAUUUUCUAUCUUCUCUAUAUUAUAACAAAACUACUUCCAAUGCAAAGUUUGAGGCAUCAAUCUUCAUAAAAUAGGCCUUGUUGAAAUUUGAAUGUAUCAAAAUUAGAGCUAUUAUGAAAGCAUCUUUUAAGCUUUGAAAAGCUUUCUCUCCUUCGAGGCUCUAGUCCAACUUGUCCUUGCAUGUCAACUACAUAAGUGGAGCAGUGAUCUUAGAGUAAUUUUUAAUAAAAAUCCUAUAGAAGUUUACAAAUCCAAAAAAGCAUUGGACAUCAUGUACAAUUUUUGGCUCUGCCUAAAUUGAUGAUUGCUUAUACCUUAUUUGGAUCCAUAAAAAGGCCUGUAUUGGAAAUAGUAUAUCUCAAAAAUUUGACUUGAAAUAUAUGAAAUAUAUACUUUUCUAAUUUUACAUACAGCCUAGUACUUUGUAGCUUUUUCAACAUAAGAUGGAUAUAUUUUUUGUGGUCUUCUAGAUUCUUGAAAAAGAUUAGAAUAUCAUCCAAAUAGAUUACAAUAAAGUCAUCAAGAUGCUUACAAAAUAUGCAUUCAUUAAGUGUUGGAAUAUGGUUGGUACAUUGGUAAGUCCUAAAAGUAUAACAUUGUCUUCAAAAUAUCCAUACAUGGUGCAAAAUAUUGUCUUCUAUUCAUCUCCUUUCUUAAUGCAUACCAAGUUAUACAUGCCUCAUAGAUUAAUCUUCAUAAAGAUCUUACUUGGCUGAGUUGAUCAAAAAGUUUGGAUAUCAAUGAUAAUGGAUGUCGAUUCUUGACCAUGAUUUUAUUAAGAUCACAAUAAUCAAUAUACAUCUAUAAAGAUCCAUCUUUCUUCUUCACAAAUAAUAUUGGAACACUAAUUGGCAACUUGGAAUAUCAAAUAAAAAUUUUAGCAAGAUUUUCUUUAAUAUACUCUUUUAAAGUCGCAAGUUCAUUAUGGAAUAAAUUAUAAAUGGGUCAAAAUGGUGGUUGAGCACCUUCUUGAAGGUCAAUCAUACAAUCAUAAGAGUCAUGCUUUGGCAAGAUUUCUACAUUUUUUUUUUUUUUUCAAAUAUAUUUAUAAAAUCCUUAUAUGCCUUUGGAAUUGUUGUGGUAUCAACCAUAGGUUCAAAUUUUAGAAUUUUUUUUUUAUAGAUUUGGAGAUUCUAUAAUCUAUUAGAAGAAAUUCUAACUUUUGGAAUAUGCCAUCUAUCUAUAGAUUAUAUUUUUCAAGCCAUGAGAGUCCUAAAAUGACUGGACUUGAUAGGAUCUAAUGACAUUGAAUACUACUUUGCUGCUAUGGUUGUUAAAAGUUAUUUCUAAUGGAAUCAUUUCAGGAGUGACAUCUCCAAAGGAUAAAGGUCGACCAUCUAUUACUUCUACAUGUACAGCUUUGUGUUUUUUGACCAUACAAAUUUUAUGCAAUCUAAAAUAUUCUUUGUCAAUAAAACAUGCAAAGACUCCCGAGUCAAGUUAUGCAUGAUACUCUAGUUUUUUUACUCCUAACUAUACAUGUAUAAUAAAUCAACGGAAAGAGCUGGUAGAGAAUAUAGGCUUUUUUGAUUUGUGAUAGUGAAGAAUUCAGCUACACAGUGUCAUAUGGCAUGAUUUGUAAUCUGAGAAUAUACUAAAUACCUAGUUAUAGAGAGUUUACCUUUGGCUUAUAUAUGAUGUCUUAUCUCCCAAAAAUUUCUUUAUCACACACAAAAUCUCAAAUUAUAAUAAAACCCCUUAAAACUUUUUCUUUUUGCAAAAGAUGUUUUUACCUUGAACUUUAGAAAUUCAUAUCUCUUGAUCCAAAUAUUCAAUUUUUCUAAAAUUUCUAUCUUUAAGCUUUACUACAAAAAAAUGAACUAUAAAUCUAUUACCAAUCUUUUGGCAUCUUUGAAACCCUACCAAGUACUCUAAAUCCUAAUCUGUAAGCAUCUAAAAACUAUUUUCUUUAUAUCUCAAAAAUCCAAAAUCCAAAUGCUACAAAAUUUAUAUAUAAAAUUUAUUUAUAUAAUUACACACAUUGUAGAAAGUUUUUAGCCAAAAUUUUAUCAAAUUUCUUAAGAUAUAGGUCAAAAUACAACCACUAGUAAUUUGGGUCACUUACUACUUCUUAGAUUCUAUGCACUCACUUCAACUUCCAAUAUCUCCUUCAUCCAAGCUUUGAAUUCAUCAAAAAAUAUAUGUAAAGUAUAGCCAAAAAAGUAGUUUCUUCAAUUCCAAUUAUUGAACCUUUGUUGCUUUCUAUGAGAGUGCAUUACAUCCAAAAGAGUGGUAGUAGAUACAAAAUCAAUGUCUUAACUUUGAGUGUCCAUAUUCUUUCAUAUAAACUCCAAAUUACACAAUAUUUGUACUAAAAUCAUAGCCAAAAAUCUCAACUUAUGAAUCCUAGCCUCCAAAAGCUCGAAUGACUUGAAAGUAUAAUCCUAAUUCCUAGUAAGGCCUCAAACAGCCUCCUUAAAGUCCAUUGGGCAUGAUUUUUAGCCAUUAGGAAUAGAAAUUUUCAUCAUCUAUCUCCAUUCAUCCAUAUGGAUGCCAUAAACUCUCUUUUUGCUACCAAAAUCCCUCUCUAACUCUUUUCUUUACAAGUUUUAUACAAUAUAUGUUCUAAAUAUCAUAUAAAAGAAACAAAAUAAGACUUUAAGGCUCACCAAUAUCUAAUAAAGGUGACUUUAAAUAUUUAAAAGUUACUACUAAUAAGAUCGACUUCAAAAGUCACUAUCAAAAGAAAAUAAAUUUAUAUAAAUUCUAAUAGAAGUCCUUUUAAAUAACCUCUUUUUGGAAUAGUAAUCUAUCUACAUCCUAUAAUCAACAAAAAUCCACUUAUAUAGCUUUCACCAUGUUUAAUAUAUUGUAUAUUAAAUAUAUAAACACAUUAUUUUCACAUGGUAGCCAAACCACAACACGAAAAUAAUCCCUAUUGUGGCUAGAUGCCCUAAUUUUCCUACAAUACUUUUGAUGAUGUGGCUGCACUCUUCAUUUGAUAUAUAUGCUAGUAUUUCUCUGAACAAUUUUUAACCUUAUGGCUAGGUUUUUUACAAUAUAAGGAUAGGCUAAAUUUCCUUCGAUGCUUCUUUUCUUGUUCAAAAAGAGAUUUGAAGCAAAUUGUAUCAAUCUACAUAUCUUUUGCUUCCAAAUGCUCAUUAAAAUUCGAUGGUGAAGAAGCUGUAAAAUAAUUGGUAUAUACAUGUGGCAUAAUUGAAGAAUGUUUAUCUUGUUGUUGUUGAAAUAAAUGGUUAUUACACUUUACAACUUGACUAAUGGCAUAAUUGAGUGUUUGAGGGUCUUGCAUAGACAAUAAUAAGUCCUUGACAUCAUCUCUUAAUUUCUAAUGAAAUUGACUCAUCAACGCAUCUUCUCCCCAAUUUAUAUCACAUGCUAAUUGUCAAAAAUCCGAGGCAUAUAUUAAUGCAGAAUACAUUUUUUUAUCAAAGGCUUUGAAUUAUAAUUAUUGAAGAAUGAAUCUUAUCAUUUUUACUAAAUGCUUCUACAAAUUUUGCCAAAAAUGCUUCGAAAUUGUGCAAUAUAGGGAAAUUCUUUUUAAAUAAUAGAACAAAUGAAGAUAAAGCUUGACUUGAGAAUAAGGUUCCAAUCAAACCAACAUGGGAUAUUUUAGUAGAAUAUUGUUGAAGUUGAAGUAAGGUGAUUAGUCGUACUUGGUUUACAAAGUGAAGAAAUUAUCAAUAGGUGCCAUCGAACAUCUUUAGAAGGGUGAUCCUUGAUUCUUUUAUUGUUAUUGUUGUCAAAUCAUUGUCUUGAGUGGAUGCACCUCCCAUGUUUGUUGAAGCAGAUAUAGUCGUUUAAGAAUUUGGAACCUCUAUUGCUAUUUGAUGUAGUGGUUGAAGCACUUCGGCUCCUUGAUCAUUAUGUAUGGUCAUAUAUAAUUCUUCAUUCUGCUUUGACAAAGUCUCUAUCUUGAUUUUCAAUGCUUCAAGAGCAUUAAUAAUAGAAUCUAACUUGAUUUCUUUAGAGUUUGUCAUAUUAACUUUUCUACCUUCUUCCAUAGAAAAUUAUAGAAAUAAAUACAUUCAAAAAAAAAAAAAAAAAAAAAAAAAAAAAAAUCUGAUCUAUGGUAUAAAGAAAAAAAUCAAAAGAAUAUUAAAAAUAUAUAUAUAUAUAUAUAUAUAUAUUAAUCUAAAGGAGAGUAAUCAGCAACCUCUAGAAUGCUAUAAUACUUCUAAGAAGAUGGAUAAUCUACUCUCUAUUAAGAAAGAUCAAGCUUCUAAAAUUGUUUUAUGGCAGAUUCAACAAAUUAUUAAGAACCAUAUACUAGAUAAGGAUUCAAGACCAAAAAAUGGAAUUAACUCAAAAUUAGAACAAUAAAUUGAUAUAAGGCAAGAAGAUCCUACCUAGACUAUAAGAAAUGAGUUGUCAAGACUGAGGAUCCCCUCAACCUCAACUUUUAUAUUUACUAUAUCUUAAGAAGUUUCUUGAAAAAUUUCUAUAAGGCUUGGAAACAAAGUAAGCAUAAGAUCCUUCUUUGAUAACUUCCUAAAUCAUCUAAAGUGUCUUAAAACCUUCUAGUAUCUCCCAUGACCUUCUAGAAUUUUUUUAGAAUCUAUUGGAACUUUUUAAAAUAUUCUUAGAAGAUUCAAAAACCUUCUAAAAUCUAUAAGAACUUUUUUAGAACCUUCUCAAACCUUCUUCAAUUGUAUGUCUAUAACAAUCUUAUCAAGCUUGAGCAACCACUCAAAUCAAGUAUUGUCAAAGAAGAAAGAUUUUUUAAUUCAUUUCAUAAACUUUUCAAGCUUGAGCAACCACUCAAAUUAAGUAUUGUCAAAGAAGAAAGAUUUGUUAAUUCAUUUGGCAAGCUUGUCAAAUUUGAGCAACCACUCAAAUUAACUGUUAUUAAAGAAGGAAGAUUUGCUAAUUUAUUUGAUAAGCUUAUCAAGCUUGAGCAACCAUGCAUAUAAAGUAUUGUCAAAGAAGAAAGAUUUUUCAUUUCAUUUGGCAUGCUAGUCAAGCUUAAGCAACCACUUAAAUUAAGUGUUGUCAAAGAAGAAAGAUUUAUUAACUCAUUUGGCAGGUUUCUCAAAUUUGAGCAAUCAUUUCAAUAAAGUGUUGUCAAAGAAGAAAGAUUUGUCAAUUCAUUUAGCAAGCUUGCCAAAUUUGAAAAACCACUAAAAUUAAGUAUUUUUAAAGAAGAAAGAUUUUCCAAUUCAUUUGGCAAGCUUAUCAAGUAUGAAAAACCAUUCAAAUCAAGUUCUAUCAAAAAAGAAAGAUUUGUCAAUUUAUUUGGCAAGCUUGUCAAGCUUGAGUAACUACUCAAAUAAAGUAUUGUUAAAGAAGAAAGAUUUUCCAAUUAAUUUGGUAAGCUUGUCAAGGUUGAGUAAUCAUUAAAAUCAAGUUCUUUCAAACAAGAAAGAUUUUUUGAUUUAUCUGGCAAGCUUAUGAAGCUUGAGCAAUUACUCAAAUCAAGUGUUAUCAAAAAAGAAAGAUUUGCCAGUUCAUUUAGUAAGCUUAUCAAGCUUGAGCAACCACUUAAAUUAAGUUCUAUCAAAGAAGAAAGAUUUUUUAAUUCAUUUUGCAAGCUUCUCAAGCUUGAGCAACCACUCAAAUAAAGUGUUAUCAAAAAAGAAAAAUUUAAAAAUUCAUUUCAAAAGCUUAUCAAGCUUGAUCAACCAUUCAAAUAAAGUAUUGUAAAAGAAGAAAGAUUUAUCAAUUCAUUUGACAAGCUUGUCAAAUUUCAACAACCACUCAAAUAAAGUGUUGUCAAAGAAGAAAGAUUUACCAAUUCAUUUGGCAAGCUUAUCAAGCUUCAGCAAUCACUCAAAUUAAGUCUUUUUAAAGGAGAAAGAUUUACUAAGUUAUUUGGCAAGCUUAUUAAGCUUGAAUAAUUUUUUAAAUCAAUUUUUCUUAAGGAAGAGAGAUUUGCUAAUUCAUUUGGCAAGUUGAUCAAACUUAAGUAAUUAUUUAAAUAAAGUUCUUUUAAAGAAGAAAGAUUUACUAAUUCAUUUGGCAAGCUUAUCAAGCUUGAGUAUCCACUCAUAUCAAGAGUUUUAAGAAAAUUUAAACUUGUCUAUUUUGUUAAUAAUAUAUUUAAAGUUUUGUUAUUAAGUAAUCUUAUGUUUGUUAAAUUUUUAACAUUUUUAAAGUUUUUUUGUACUACAUUGAGUUCAAUAGAUCCAUCUAAAUCAAGUCUGAUUAAUAUACUAGUUAUAAUCAAUGUUCUAAGUAGUGGAUCACCAAAAAUAAAUCCUAUUAGAUUCAAUAUUGUCAAUUCUUCAAAUACUUUCUAAAACUCUUUGUUGCAUAUUGCAGAGGGCAGUUUUAUUUUGUUGUUAUGAAACCUACAGAGCUGGUGAUAAUGAUUAUUUUUUAGUAACAAAAAUUUUAACUUAUUUGCAUUUUUUAUCAAUAAUAUAAUUAUUUCAAAGACAUCUUUAUUUUGCUUUGCAUCAAUCUUAUAUAUAAGAAUUUGUAAAGAGUAAAAGUGUAAUCUUUUUAUAAUAAAUCGUCUCAAGAUAUCUUUUAUAUUAUAAUUAAGAAUUAUGCCUUCCAACUAAUCAACAUAACAAGAGAAUAAUUAGAAAUUACAAUCUAUAGCUUUAUUAAGUAUUUAAACCAUAUAAAAAUUUCUAAAUAUUUCAUAUUGCAACACUUAAGUAAUGUAAUAUUUUUCUUUAUAAAAAUUAAAAUAUCUUGGAUUCUAUUUUCCUUCAAUAUUUAAUUUAUGCCAAUAAUUGUAUUCAAGUUAUUCUACCACUAUUUGAAAGUCUUACCUUUGUUGUUAUUCCAUGCAUUGGCACCAUAUUUGCAUUCCAAAUUCGUGUGUCUUUAUAUUCUUUUUCUUCUUCAACAAUCUUUUAUCGUAUAUUUUGUAAUUGAUCAUGCACUUUUAUUAUUCUAUCUUUUUUCUAUUUUUAUCAUUGAUUGAUGAAUCAACAUAUCCAAUAUAAUACUUGUAUCUUACUCUUCAAUUCUACUUUUCUUAUUGGUCUAUAUUUGUAUUAUAGUCUCUUUUAUUAUACCACUCGAUUUUACAUUGUUACAAAAGAAGCAACAUAUGUCAAAAAUCAUAUUCUUUUCUUCAACUUUUAAGGCAUCAAAACUCAUUGAUUUGACUCUUAUUCUUCACAUCAUCGAAGACUAGCAUGAAUUUUUUACUCAUUAAUAUUUCUUUUAUCAUAUCUUGUGCUUCUUCUAAAUUCUUUGGUUUUAAUUCAAAGUUUAAUUAAUUCAAAACUUUAAAAAUUAUUGAAAGACUAUUAUCCUUCUUUUGAAUACUUUCAACAAAACAUGAUACAUUGUCUAUAUGUUGCAUGGUAUCAAACAUAAACUUUGCUAAUGUAGUCUUUACAAUUCCACCUAUACCAACAAAAGACAAUACAUUUAUUCCACUCUUGCAUAAUUAUUUGAUGUUUGACAAAUGUUGUUCUAUACCCAUUAUAUUGUUCUUACAAUCAUGUCCCUAUUAAAUAAUCAAAUUAUAAUAUUAAAUAAAUAUAUAAUUCAUAUCAUAGUCUCUAUAAAAAUAAUCUAAUCACAUAUUCAUAUUUUGAUAAAAACAACUUUAUUAAAUUAUACACAUUUGAAUGUAUAGAUCUUAAAAUCAAAUAAACCAAUGAAACAUUUAUAUCACACCAAAUCUCAAAUAUAAAUUUUACCAAUGUAUCAUCAACAUGAACAACUUUUGAUUUAUUCCUUUCAUGAUCUUUUUUCUUAAAUGCUCCAAAAUGAGGUGUUUUGGCUACAUCAAUUUCUACCAAGUAUUUUUUCUUCAAUAUUGUAAGUCUUUUAUAAAUGUUUUCAAUAUUAGGUCUUUUAGAAAGAUUCAAAGAAUAUUUAGUAACAUUAUUCAAUCAAUUUACUCAAAUCAUCACAAUUUGAAUGUAAUUUUGAUCUUUCACCUUUUUCAAUCUUUUUCAAUAAUUCUUUUUAAAAUUGAUACCAUCAAAUAGAUCUUCACCUAAAUCAACUUUAAAACAUGUUAUUGCAAAAGAAUACACAUCUGCUUCAAAAGCUUACAUCUUUGUUGAUUUUAUUGUACUUUUUAAUAUCUUUGAAGCUAAGUAACUUAAAUUUUUAUAUAUGUAUGUAUUUUCUUUAAAUUUUGGAUUCCUACCCACAUUAAUCUUUAAACAACCAAAAUCAACCAACUUCAUAAUAGCAUAAUGAAAACCAUUAUUAGAUUUAUCAUUAUUUAUAAUAUUAAAUAGUAUAUUAUCCGGCUUUAAAUCUUGAUGUACAAUUUGUAUGUCAUGUAAAUAACACAUUCCUUUUGUAAUUUGAUAAAUAACAUCAAUAAGAAAGUAGUAUGGCAUUGCUCUUUUUUCCUCCAAUACAUUGCUCAAACUUGUUUGUAUCAAUUCCAUCACCAAGUAUACUUUUUUUUCUUGAGUUAUUCAUUAUUGAAGACUCUCUAUUCUCAUUUGUAUUACUUUUGGUAGUAUAAUAAUAUUUGAUCAAGUUUGGAUGGCUUGUGAUAGUGAAAAUAUCCACUUCUUUUAUAAACAUAUCAUUCCAAGUAGCAUCCAUUAUUUUUGUUGCAAUUGCAAGUCCAACCCUCUCUGAUUCAUAAACUGUUUCCAAAAGCACCUUCAUUUAUAAUUCUUCAAAGUUCUAAACUUUUGAUAUUACUUGAUACUUCCAAAAAAUCCAUCUCUCCAUCUUCUAUAUACCACAAGUUUAUUAAUCUUGUUGAUAGAUAGUUUGUCAAUUCACGAUCUUUAAAUCAAACAUCUUUACUUUUAUAGUCUAAGCAAUUGUAAAGUUCUUCACUAUCAUGUUUAACUUCUUUAUAAGUUGAAAUAUUAAAAAACACAAGUAUAAUGUCUUCCAUCUUUUUUGGACACUUCUUUAAUAAUAGAUCAAUUCCUACAUCAUAACAAGUCUUCAAGUCCCAUAAUAACUUUUUAAAUAUUUCUUUUUUUUCCAUUUGAAAGAUACUUACUUCAUACCAUUGUUCUUAUGAACAAGCUUUUAUCAACUUGUAUAUUCUCAAUGUUGUAUAUUAAAAUUCACAAAAUAAAAUUUUAUACUCACUUCUUCCAGUGCAAAAAGCUCUCAAGACUUCAAAUAAUUUGAUAAUAUGACCAAGUGGUUGGUAAAUAUUUACACAUUGUUUUUUAUGCAAUACAACUUUAGUCUUCAAUAACACCUCCAUUUCUUGAUUGUAAUUAUAGCAUUGAGUGAGCACAUCUCUAAUAUCAACUUUUCUUGAUUUGAACACAACUCUAAUAUCUUCCACAUACUUCUUAUAAAAUUCCAUAGCAAGUGCAAAUUCCAAUGUACAACAACCAAAUAAAAACCUUCACAUUACUAAGACAUGCUUCAUAAACAUCUUAACAAGAUAGACUAUGGCAAAUAUUUUUAAAAAAAUAUAUAAUUCACUUUCAAUCACAUGAAUAAAAUCUUAGUAAAUAUUUUAUAAUAUUUCAAUAAAUUUUGAUCACCAAAAAAUUUAACGUAAUAAAGAUGUCACUAAUAAUAUUUGUGUAGACUAAAUUAAUCUCUAAUUACAUUUGUCAUUCUUUUUUAUAACUUUUUAUUAUCUCUUAAUAUUUUCUAUAAAAUAAGUAUUUCUCUAUAUAUAUAUAUAUAUAUAUAUAUAUAUAUAAUAAAUAAACAUUCAUCUCAUAAUCUAUACAAAAUAAAUAUCAAUGAUGUACAUACCUCAAAAUAAAAUUAGCAAUUGAUUCUUGAGUACACUCCUAUACUUACUCAUGCAACCAUAGAUUCUUGAAAUGUUCUUUGAUUGCCACAAAACCUUCACACAAAGACAAUAUAUAUUUUGACAAAAUUGAUUAAUAUGUAAACUAUUAUACAUACUUCAUACAAACAAAAUUGAUUCAUAUCUUUGAUAAACAUUAAACUAGAUCAUUAAAGUAGAUCAACAUGCCAUCCAUCUUUUAAUAAUUAUCUAAUAACACUAAUUCUUGAUAUUUUAUUAUAAAUAUGAUAUGCCAUGACAUUACUCUAUUUAUAAUGAUAUCUAAUCUUAUUAAGUUUAUAAGCUUUUUUUCUCCAAUCCUUUGUGUUUUUUAAAUCACUCAUUAUACAAAUGACAUAAAUUAAAUAAUCAAUGAAUGAAAAGUCCACCCUAUGCAAUAGCUCAAUAGACUCAAUAUCUUUGUAAACAAAAAAGUUUUAAGAUGUUCUCACCAUAUAAUUUGAAAAACUCUUCCAUCCUUUAAAUCAUUCAGAUCCGUUCCUAUCUCACAAUCCAAUGGCACACAAGCCUAGCCAAGAUACAAUUGUGAUAUAUUAUUCAAUGCAUCGUCAUCUUCUUACCAAUCAGACUUUCGUUAGAUUAACAUCAUAACUUAUAGUAUCUACAAUAUUCAAUCUUCUUAAAAAAAUCUAAAACCUCUUGAUUGUUCACAUGCUAUCACAUUAUGUAUUGUCUUGCUUGAGAAUGUACUAGGCAUCUAUCUGUGGAAGGUGGGCUUGUCUUUUACAAACAUCCAAAAAAAAUCCUAAUAUGUUUCAUCCAUAUAAAAAGAAUACAAUCCAAAUUUCAAUUCAAAAGUGCUAAAAAACACUCUUCUUAGUAACCUCAAUCACACAUAAACCUCAAUUACCUUGUUAUUUAUAUAUUUAAGCAAUUUAGAAUUUUCUUGUAAGUCCCAAGUCUAAUCAAUGAGCUUUGACAAGUUCUAACUUCUAAUCUGACUAUCCACUUGAUGUGAAAUUUUUCAUGCAAUUUUCAAUGUAAGUCUUCUACAUGCUUGAGAAUUUUUAGACCAAUCCAAUUUACAGAUUGUGAGAAAACCUCUAAAAACUACUUUGAUAUCACUUAGCUGCCAACUUGAAAGGUGAAGCAAAAGUUCUAGUAGUGAUUUCUCCUUUUCCAACCAUUAACUUUGACUCAAAAUUGGUGUGCACCUUGAUCUUCAAGUCCUUCAAUAUCAUGCCAAAUUUCACCUUGAUCCAACUAGUAGAUCUUCAGAUAUCACAAAAAUCCUAUCCAAUCCCAAACUACCAACUUCUGAUAUGUUCUAGUAUCAAAACCUAAAUAUCUCUCAAUUGCACCGUUAGAUUACUAAAAAAAUUUACAUACAUUUAGAACACCUAAUUCAAAAAAAAACUCUCAAAAUUUGAACUAUAGAUGUGAUAUCAAUUUUAUAAACUAGUUGAGGGUGCUAGCCCUAAUUUUAUUGCAUAAAUCCCAAGUUGCCAAAAUAAACCUUGACUUUCAAGAACAAUUGCUAACUCUUUCCAAAUCCUACCAAAACCAGUUUUAUGUCUUUGCAACAAGCUCUAACCUAGCUCUCAAAUCCUAAUCUCUAAUCUUUAAAUGCCUCCUUAUUUUGCCCUAGGCGGUCGUUUUAGUGACCAAAGAUUAGAUUUCAACCCUGUCUCACAAAUAGUCGACCUCCAAGUAUUAAUCUAGCCUAUCCUAAGGAUUUUUUAGCCCAAUCCUACUCUCAACUUAAUCUUAGUAUUAACUAUAUUAAUUAUUUACCUCUUCUAACUCGAUUUUAUCAAUUUAUGGUCUUUCUAAGGUAGUAAAAGAGUCUCUAUAGCUAGAAGGUAAAAUUACUAACUAACCUUUAACCUACUAACUAUUAAGAUAAGAAAAUAACCUAAGAGGCUUCUAUAAAAACCAUGUUUAGAUAUCUCAAAUUAUUGUUGAACCAAGAUAAUUAGAUAUUAAUUAGAAAUUCAAUUUUGAUUAUAGUUUCAUUAUAUAGUCGUAUUAUAUCACGAUAGUGCUUGCAUAGGAUAUUCCAAAUAUGAGCUUACUAUCAACCCUAUUGUUUGGCUUCUGACCAUCACCUUGAGCACCAUAUUCGAAACACACAGAAAGCCAUCAUAACAAUCUCGGAAUCAAAAACAAAUCCUCAUGACUGCCUACCAUCCACGGCUCCUAGCUCUCACGUUGUUUGCAUGCGGCACAAAGGUGUCAUGACGUCAUGUAUUUAAGGGCAGAUUCGAGAAGAGAGCACACUGCAGCGAGGGUUUUGCUACAAUAGGGCGAAGGGAAGUGUACAAGGGGAAGCAGGAGGCGAAGCUGGAAGGAUUGCUUGAAACCCUGGACAGAAUGAACAGAACAUGGAUGGGUUAUAUAAUCCAAUGGACGAGAAUGAGCCUACUAACAAACAAUAGUGUACCUUACUGUAUUCAGCACUACACACACACCCACACAGGGCUUACAAUAUCUACUCACAUUGGUAUCAGGAGUAAGAUAUAAAACAAAAAAAAAAAA